Molecule: long non-coding RNA, 46160 nt
Filed under: Coffea arabica (coffee)
Lineage: Eukaryota; Viridiplantae; Streptophyta; Magnoliopsida; Gentianales; Rubiaceae
Description: long non-coding RNA (CARA_LNC001997)
Source: RNAcentral
UUUUUUUUUUUUUUUUUGUGAAAUCUCUUAGAUCCUUUAGAGAAUCUUGCUGUUUACUCUCUCUUUUUUUCUAUUCCCUAUCAAGUAUGAUACAUUCAACAAGAAAUGAUCCCUAACAAAGCUCCACAUAGACGAGGUAAACCAUGUCUUCUGACUUGAGUUCCUAAGCCGUGAAUCCAUGUCCAACAGUCAAUAAUAUUCUCAUAAGCUACAGUUGGUUAUUUUGAUGAAUUAAUUGUUGUUGUUUUUGAAUGAGAUUCUCACCUCAACAGGUUAGAGUUGCCCCUCUUCUUGCUGAAACAGACUUUUUUUUAUUAUUUUUUAAACAACCCAUAAGCUUGGGGCAGUUGGUAAACAGGUUACUAAUGCCAAUGAAAGGUUGCAAGUUCGACUCCUGCAUAUAACGCCUUGAGUCGAUCACCCUCGAGUAAAAGUCAGACUUUGCGGGCGCUUUUAGACCCUAGUUUGGAGAGAUAUAUGAAUGCACAAAAUCAAAUUUGCAAGCAAAAAUAGGGCUGCGUAUCAAUCUAUAAAAUUGGGCUGCAUAUCAGUCGAUCGGCUCCUGAUCGCGAGCAGCUCGAGUCAAAACUCAACUCAAAUUCGAUAAACACUAAGUUCGAGUCAAACUCAAGCUAACCAAGUCGAGUUCAAGCUCAAAUUCAAGUUUAAAGAUACUCAACUCGUUAGCUCGCGAACCAACUCGACUAUAUAUAUAUAUAUUAUUUUAAUAAUAAAAUUACAUAGAUAUUCAUAAUAUUUUAUUAUUUAUUAAAAAUUUACUAUUUUAUUUAUUUUAAAUUCUUUUUAAGCUCGAGUUCGAGUUUGACUCAGUUCGAAUUUGAAGUCGAGCUCAAACCUGAGUUUUACAUUAAGAGUUUAUUGAGCUCAAAUUUGAUAAAAUCAAAUCAAAACUCGAUUCGAUUAGACCAAAAUUCGACUCGAUUCAAUUAAAUCAAAAUUCAACUUAAUUCGAAUCGUUUGCAAUACUAGCAAGAAAGAAUGAUGAUAAAUCUGUGUUUCUUUUACCUUAUAACACUUUUACUACACCCCCCGGGGGGCCACAGCUGUAGGCAGGCAAGCUGCUUUUAUUGAGAGUUCUGUGGAGAAUGCUGGCGAGUGGCGGCAUUGGUCGGGUGAUCAAACAUUUGCAGGGGUGACUGGGGCGGACGGGAGAAUUAAGAGAAAUAGACAGGUGAGCAUGAUUUCAUCCGAUUCUUUUUGCUUCACUUAUUUGACAGUUUUUAUCUUUUCGGAGAUAAAACAGAAAUUUUUUGAAUUUCCAAUUUCACUCUCUCAAACUACAUUAAAGUGCUGUUUAGAAAUUAAGUAAUCCACGUUUCACAAUAGAAAGUCUCAAGAGAGAGAAAGUUUGAGAUCGAAGCCAAUUUGAAGUGGAUUUACUUAAAAAAAUUCAGGCGGGUGCAUAAUACACCCGUUUAGUCCGGUGAUAGUUCAGUCCUCUCCGAAUUACCCCUGGACCUCCUUAGGUCCACCCCUCCCUCUAGUGUAGGAUAGAUUAGGUUAUACAAUAAUUAUCGUCUCUGAAAAAAAAAAAAAAAAAGCCAAUUUGAAGUUUUUAGAAAUAGUUCAAGGACUUGAUCAGUCUACCCAUUGGAUUUCUCUACUUCUCCUAACACCCAACCUAAAAGAUCCAAUGCAUCGCCCUAACAUUAAAAGUCAAACGUGUCACCCACAAAUUAUCAAUUUUUUUUUUAAUGCAGAAACUUGGACUAUUACUUUCUUAUGUUAAAUUAAAUAGUUGCAAUUAACCUAAAAAUAAAUUAAUAUGACACGCUGAUAGUGAUAAAAGAAUGUAAGAAACAUUGACAAGAAUUAAAGGAACUUAAUCAUGAAGCAAUCCAAGUUUCACACUGCUUACACGUUGAUUAUUUUUAUGAAAGACGAUAACAUAUAUAGUAUUAAACAAAGUGAGCAAGCUUUACAGUAAUAAUCAGACUUUUUUUUUCCUUUGGGAUGGAUCCUCUAAAUCAAUUGAAUUCAAGCUUGGCUAUCUUAUCAAGUUGAACAAUAAUAUAUUUUAGGGAAAAGGGGAGCUCCACACCAUAUCUGGUAAUUGAACAAGCAAUAUGGCCAUCGUUUUCCCGAAAAAAAAAAAAAAAAAACAAGCAAUAUGGCCCCCAAAGAUAUUAAAAAUAACUUCCAGUCACACGCUAAGCCAGCAACCAAACUGGAAAAAAUCCUAAAGAAAUAUGCCAAUUAGGUACCUAAUGCUGGCAAUAAGUCACCCCAUUUGCACGCAUAGGGCCCGCGGGCCUACACCACCACAGAUUUCAAAGUGCAAAAUAGACACUAGCACAUGGGUGGACAAGCCCUACAACAAUCCCUUGACAGUUUUAUUAUCUUUAGAAUCAUUCCAGCUGGAGUACAACGCUAUACAAGAUGGACAUCCAAACUGAAGACAUGCUUACAAGUUGAUGAUGAUAGUGGCGUAGAAAAUAAGGAGGCUACUAAUCCACCAACGCAGACAGAGAAAGCAAGAGAGCAAAAAGGAUUUAGUCCUGGAAGGUAUAGGAGACUUUAAUUAUGAGAGAGCUGUUUUUGUUUACUUCCGAGUAGAUUUUAAUAGAUGUAUUAAGCAUGGUAACGACCACUGGAAGCAUAGUGUGAACAUUCUAAUAUGAAUGACAGAUGCAAGAAAAAAAAAAUAGAGAAACUGCAAGACAUAGCAUUUCGACACUUCAUCCUUUAAAUACACAAAUUCAAGCAAUUAGUGUUCCGAUUACCACAAUCAUAUCUAUUAGUAUGUCUGUCAAGGUCAGUUAGUCCAACAGCCAAGCACAACCAGAACAAUCACAAACUUCUACCACUCUCCGGAACACCUACCGACUCACUAUAUCGCUACAGCAUUUCUUACAUGAAACUAUAACAAUAUCCAUGGCAGAGUAACCAUGAGAGCUCACAUUGCCAGAGAAAAAAUAUAUCUAUAUAUACUUCAUUACCGGAUUAAGCAGUUAUCGCGGGUUUACUGGGCCUUUUUCCUUCCAUGGCAUCCUUCUUCUUACGACAGGUUGCACAAAGGAAGGGCCCUUCCCAUGGCUUUGAUCCAGGUGAGAAAAAAGGCCCUGAAUUAACAGAUAAGCCAUCACUGGGCUGCUGAUCCACUUGGCAUAUCGCACAUUUGAACAGCCCAGAAUUUGAGUUCAAAGGAAAAUCCUUACCUAACCUGCAUGUAGUCAAGAUGAACAGAGUUUAAAAAACAGGCAUAACGCAACAUGACACAUGUGGCCUUUUAACUCAGGAUUGGGGGGAAAGAUAGUUUUGCAUCAAUUAAAGCAGCUAUAUGUUUGAGGACGUACAUGCAUCUCCACGAGAUAAAAACUCAGUAGCCCACCAAGUGUGGAGUUGGAACAAAUAGCAAAACCAGAAACAGAUUGACACUUCAGGUCUAUCAUUCACAAAAAAUCAUUUGCCAGGCAUCAAUACAAAGACAAUUAAACAGACUUCUGUAAAAAUUAUCAACAAGGAAGAAUAGUGGCAUUUUUCCAUCCUCAAUUCAUAAAAAUUCCCAAGAAUAUCAACUCAUCCACCCUCUGAGAAGUCAUCAAUUUACUACCCAGCUUCAGAGAAAGGAAACCAGCAUUAAAUAGCACUUUUAAAUUAGAACUUUUAGCUCAGCAACAGCCAGUAAGUUAGGACAACUUCAAAUGCAAUCAUGGGGCAGUUUAACCCAAAACGCAAUAAUGAAGAGUUUGUGCAUUUGAUCAUCCGUUGCAGGAUAGCACUUUUGAAGCCAACCAGACCACACCGGAGCUAAAAAUAGAGUAUGCAAACCUUCUGUAUCAUCAAAUUCUGGGCAUAUUUUUCAGCAGUCCAAAGAAAAGAUGAUAGACAAACCAUACUUUUAAGCUUCUGAAUGCAAGAGAAGAUCCACACUUCUAUAUCCAAAGAAAGUAAAAUUUGAAUGAGGCCUAAGAAGAAGGAAUGACACAUAAGGUUCUAUACACCCUAUGUAACAGAAGUUCAACAAUAGCCUGUAGGCACUGCUAGAUUUUGACGGCUCAAUAAUAAUGUCAUCGUCCUCCAUUAGAGUUAUUGAGGUAUUGAACACAAUUAUCUUCGUAUUAAUAAAGAGCAGAGACAAUAUGUGAUAUAGUAUUGGUCACCCAGCUUGCCCUCAUCUAUAGGUUCCAUCAUGAAACCAAAACCAGAGCACAAUGUACUCCUAAGCACCUAGGCACCUUUAAAUAAUAUGUGCUCCAGCAAAAAUGAAAAUUGAGUAGUAAUAAGGAUUACCAACACAAAAGAUCCUGCACCUACAACAUGCACUUAUAAUUAAACCUUAACUUCUGCAUGCUAGGUGUCUCUUCAUUUGGAUAAAAUUAAACAUCCUACUCUCAUUUCAUAAGGCUUACAUGAAAAGGAAACUUCAGUACCUUUCUGCAAGCAUUGCAGAGCCUUCUUCAAACAAUUCCUCCACAGCCCCAACGGCAGAGAGCUUACUACUUCCUUUGUUCAUAGAAUUCUCGGACCUCUUCCCAAAGAAAAGUGAAUUAAGAAGUGUAUGUUUCUUUUUAGGAGUAGGAGGCAAGACAGGGUGAUCAUAAGGAAUAAUAUCAACAACCAAGCAGGUAGUAUCAUCCUUCAGACCUCGUGACCUAAGAGCCUCCUGAAUGUCAAAAGUAAACAAGAAUUAGUACAAAGAACUAAGUGAAAGAGAAAAGAACUUCAAAUAAUGGAAAAAAAAAAUCUCCAUCUCACAUCACCUUAACAACUAAUUUUGCAGCAAGAUCGGCUGGCAAGCCCCGGCAAGACUGCGCAGCCUGAUCAGAUGACAAUGCAUCCCAUAUACUAUCAGAGGCAAUUAUAAGUCUUCCUCCAGCACUGGAAAGCUGACAACCAAAGGAAGUAUGGUUAAGAAACAUACUAACAAAUAAGAAAAAUGAUUUUCCAACAAAUACAAACCUUCACUUGCUUAACAUGAGGAACAGGUACAAUGAAUUCUCCAACAUCCGUGUCACCAAUUGACCUGGAAAGACACAAUCCACCUGGCCAGCAUCGCAAUGGACCAACCUAGAUACCAACAAGAAGUUUUGAUUCCAAAUGGAUCAUUCGGUUGACUAAAUUUGUCAGCUAUAACCUAUUUCAAUGCCAAAUAACUAACAUAUCGCCCGUACCUCAUUUCCCCCAACAUUAAGCCUGCCAACUUCACCACCACUAGCAGUAACACGCUCUCGUUCUUCAGCAUUUUCUUCCAAUCUAUGGUUACCUGUUAAAAGAGAAACCACACCACCUUGUGUAUCCAAUAUGCACCUAGAAUCUCCAACAGAUGCAACAGUCACAGUCCACCCAUCAAUCACAACAAAUGUAACAGUUGUUCCUGAUUUCUCACCUGUUAUACAUAUCAAUCGCCGAAAACUGAGAAACCCAUCAAGGUAAAACAGGACAGAUCCUCCAAAAAUCUAAUAGUAGGUAUAAAAUGAUACCUACCUCCUUGCCGAAAUUCUAUAUCAGUUUUCACAAACCCAGCAACCAAUGCACGAGGAAGGGCUUGAAGCCACUCCUCCCCACCAAGUCCUUCAGGUAUAGCACUCAAAACAUUUUUCAACAAAUUCUCUUUCGCAAAGAUAGCAGCCGAUAUACCAUUAUGGCCAUCGAAAAUCUACCAAACAGAAGGCACACAAUCAGCAACCCCAUUUACCAAAGUCAUACACUCUUUAAAAAAAAAUUAAUAAAAGUUGGUAAUUACCGCAAAAACCGAGAAAGAAGUCGACUGAUUGUCCACAACUCUCUGACAAUCUGGCUUGAUCAAAAAAUAGUCCUCCCCUUUUUUGGCCAGAGCAGUCUGCCCAUACUUGACAGUGCGCUUCUCCACCUUCUCAUUCCUGAGCUCACGACCAAUCAGAGCCCCAAGAGGAACAAGUGGUGGCUUUUGCUUCAUCUUCGAAAUCUCCGCUUUACUCAUUCUAUUUUUCGUCCCAAUAGUGCCAAAGCCUCAUUGUCCCCACCCUAUUAACCCAAAAAAAAUUAGACUAUAAAUCACAAAACUCAAAAAUUCAUUUUCUUUGAACCAAAUCAUCGAACAAUUGAGAAGCAUUUUACAAAAGACAAGGAAUUAAGCAAAACCCAGCACACAGAUCAACAGAUUAAUUACAAUGAGAGCUUAAUUCUUCAAUCAACAGUCAUACAUCAAUCUCAUAUACUCCUACAUUACCUUCAUAAAUCAUAUGAAUCUUUUGGAAACACCAAAUAACAAAAAGAGAAAAGGAAAUUUUGUAUGGAAAAAUACAAAAAUGUGUAAAGAAGAACAUCAGGGGAGACAGAGAGAGAGAGCCUACACUUACAGAGAAGGCAUUGAGGGGAAAUCAAAUUGAGAAGGAAAUAGAGAGCAACAUCUGGAAGAUGGUGGAAACUGCAGUACCAGUACCAGAUUAGUAGAAUGUAUGGGGUGGACUGGAUUUGGGGAAAUUUGGAAACCCUAGAUAGAGUGUGUGUGUGUGUGUGUGUGUGUGUGUGUGUGAGAGAGAGAGAGAGAGAGAGAGGGAGGAGAGAGCGUGUGACUGGGUUGUAUUUUUGUGUCCAAGAGGAGUGCUAAGCUGAGCUGAGCUGAGCUGAAUCUGUGAUUUGAUUUGGGUUGGAGCGAGAGAAAAAAUCUAGAGACGAGGAGAAGACGCGGAAAUUGGGCACGAAAAAUAUAUAAUGUGAAAGAAAAAAGGAGGGAAUUGAUGGGCCCAACCCAAGUGUUAUUUAGAUUAUGACAUAUAUGUUUUUAAAAAUUUUUUUGGAUAACUUGUUUUCUUUUUCUUUUUUUUUUGGGGGAGGGGUGUGUGUGUGGGGGGGGGGGGGAAGGGAUUGGAAAAUGACAUUUGUGUCUUAAUUGAAGUUAAAAGAGCAAUAAAUUACUAAAAAGUAAAAACUCGUUCAAACUAAUCCCUUAUAAAACAACAUACUAUGAGCUCGACUUAUACGUGUAAAAAAAAUCGAUAAUUCAUAUGUAAAUAAUUCAAAUUAAUUAACUUUAGCUUAAAGAAUAAAUAAGUUGAAUUUAGACACAAUUUCAAUCUUGUUAAACAAAUCCAUAUGGUAAGGAUUAAUUUUUAUGUACCAAUUGUGUAGUGAUUUUUUUACACUAGUGAUUUUAAAUGUAUGUCACAUGUGCAUGAUUUGAAACUCAAAUUUAAAUUCAUGUUAGGUGGUAUAAUCUAAACCUACAAAUAUAAAAAAAAUUAUAUGCUUGAAAGGCAAGAGUGUGGACUUAAUUAGACUCCUUUAUGCUACUAUUAAAAGUCCAUCUCCAAGUUUAAUUUGCUUUUCUUUCUUGUAUGUAUGGCCAUGUUUAAUAACCUGAUUUAAUAUUUAAUUCUAAUGGAUUCAGAUUUUAAUAUAUUCAGACGCAUUUGAUAACCAAAAAUUGAACAUCUGAAUUAAUUAAGUAACACUGAAUUUUCUAGGCAAAAUUUGCUUCUAAAAAUAAGUGAGAAACUAUUUACAUAUCAUUGAAAAUGAUAUACAUUCAAAUGUAUUUGAUUUAAAAUUAAUGAUUUAAUAAUUUAAUAGAUUCAGACUUUAGAUUUCAAUUUUUAGAUUUCACUUUUAUCAAACACACCUAUGUCUUUUUUCCUUGUCUCAAAUCAAAAUAUUCUUUUCGGUAAAAUGGACUAUGAUCCCCUCAUCAUUGAUCAUUGAUACAUGUUGAUGUAUUUAUCUCCAAUUUGGAUUGCAAUUUUUUGAAGUUUUGUAAAAAAUGUGCUGUAAUAUUUGAUAUAUAUGAGAUAAAAAGAUGAUUGAAAAAUAUAUUCACGAAAAAUUUAUAAAUUUUUUGGUGGAAAAUGGCUUUCCAAACAAGGCAUUAACUUUUUGAGAAAAUUACUAAAUAAAAAUUUUCUCAAACAAAUUUUUGGCUAGAAGCUUUAAAUUUUUGGUUAAAAAAAAACAAUAAGCAUAUAAAAUUUCUUGGAGUUAUAGUAAUUUGUUGAGCAAUAAUGAUAUAAGAGUAGAAUUUCUUUUUUAAAUAUGAAAACACGAUCUUUAAUGAGAUUUUGUUGUAAUUAUCUUUUAAAACUAGAGAAUCUGGUGAUUACAAUAUGCACAGAAGCAGUGACGGAGCCAGGAUUUUUUCCUUGGGGGGGCCAAAAUUUUUUCGAUCAAAAUUAUCUUAAUAUGUUAUGUUCAAACUAAUUUUUAUUUAUUUAAAUAUAUGACAUCUUAAAAUAUCAAAUUUUAAUUUUAAUUAUAAAGGUAUAUCUAUUUUAUAAAUAUGUAGCAUAGUCAGAACUAAAAUUAAGAUAAGAAAUAACAUUUGAUUAAAUAUCUUAUAACAUCACAAACCACUUAAGUUGUACAUUAUGAGAAGAUGCUCCAAUAUGUCACCUGUGCAAAAAAAAAAAUAUAACUAUGUAAUAUAAAUAUAAUUAUUUUCAAUUAAAAAAAAGAUAAAAGUUAUGUUAAUAUACCUUGAAAUUUCAUCCUCUUUUAUUAAAAGUAAAUUGAGAUUUACGUUCUUUCAUAGAACUAAAUUCAUCUAUAAUUGAAUCGGUGCUAAAUUUUGAUCAUCCUUUUUUUUAUGUACAUUGUUAGACAAUCAUUCAAGAAAUUAUCUUUUAUCUUGUUUUGAUUAUAUUCACAAUUGAAAAUGUAUGUUCUAUAGUUGCAGUUAAUACAGAAAGAGUGAGAACAAAUAUAAUCAAUCUGCCAAUAACAGGAUGUAUCACUCAAUUUCUUGUUUUCACCAAGCUUUCAAGUAAUUAUUUGUAUAUUUGUAUAUGAGUCAACAAGAGGAUAGAUCACUAAUUUUAAAUUUUUUAUCAAUUAGGCUAAGGUGUAUAUUUGUAUAUGGACCAAUAAAGUAAUUAUUUUUAUUUUAGCCCAUUGAUAAUUAUGAAUUGAGUCUUUCAUUAUAAUACAUCAAAUUGGGUCAAUUUACUAUGGAUUAUCAAAUUAUAUGUUUAAUUUUUUGAAUGUUAAAUAAUUAGUACAAUAAAAAAUAAAUAACUUUUUUUUGAAGAAAAAAUUAAAUCAAAAGGUGGCUAAUUCAUAUACACACACAGAUAUAUAUAUAUAUAUAUAUAUAUAUAUAUAUAUAUAUAUAUAUAUAUAGCUCUCAUAAUAUAAACUAAAAUUAUAAAAAAUUAGGGGGGGCCACAUUUAACUUAUACAUAUAUUUACAUAUUAUGAAUUAAAAUUUUCAAAACUUAGGGGGGGCCAUGGCCCCCCUCUGCCCCCCCUUGGCUCCAUCAUUGCACAGAAGAUAAUUGUAGCGAUUUAUCUAUUAGAAGACAAUUAUGAAAAUUAUUGUAUUUUUUAAGUUUUAUUAGUAAUUUUUUUCAAAUUUAUUCUAUAUAUUAAAUUGUAAAUAUGUAAUUUUUAUUACAUAUUUAACCCGUCAUUAAGAUAAUAAUAUAAAUCAAAUCAUGUUGGAUGAUUUCAAGCAAUCUGUUGAUACAAUUUUCUUUUAUCAAAACAAAAAGAUUGAGAUUAUGAGAGAGAAUUGCUAAUGGUUGAUUGAGAUGAUGUUGAAGUCCACCUGCCGGGACCGGAGUAUUCUAAGGCUGUCAUGGAAUUUUGUGGAAGGCGGGAUUUUCUAACAGGCGUCUGGUGGAAGACAAGUACACAGCAUAAUUGUGUUUUAUAAGGUUUCGUCUAAUCAUAUACUCCCUUCCUUUUUUUAUAACUGAUGUUUAAGGUUUUGCACACCAAUUAAGAAAAGUUUUUCAUUGCUUAAAUCUGUACACUACUUUCCUUUUGUACCCUCAUUAAUUAUCCAAUUCACCCAUAUUUUCUCUCACUAGAGUAAUAAAUGGUGCUGUUUUACUAGGCCAAAAGUAGUAAUUAAGAACCCUGUAUUGGAAAAGAGAGAUAAAAGGGUAAAAUUGUGAAAAAAUAAUUAAUACUGUAUGGGGAUAAUAAAACGACAGAUAAAAGUACACUAGAGCAAAUUUCUUAAACGUCAGUUAUAAAAAAAGGGAGGGAGUAUAUGUUUAAAUUUUUAGUGUAUAAAUAUAGGAUAAAAUUGUACUAAAUAUAUGUCAAAUUUUUUAUUCAUGAGUCUAUUUAUAAAAAGCAACUCACCACAUUCGUAACCAAUAAAUACAAACGUGGAAAUUCUAAAAUCAAGAAGGUGAGUUAUCCAUUAAUUUAUUUUUGUCGCUUAGUAUAAGAUUUUCCUCUAUUCAUGUACAUCACUUUUACCUCAAAUAGAAUAAUGCAAUGGAAUUGUAUAUCAAAUAAUGUAAAAAGUAUAACAAUCGAACCAUACUAGGUUCCAACCGCACUGGCCCCUUUCCUGUCUAGUAAAAACUAACAUAUCUAAAUUAUUAUGUAAGUGCACCUAUUACAAAUUAUUGCCCUGUAUUUGUUUCUUUCUUAAUAUGACAGAAGUGAGAUUUAAUAAAUAAAGAGAGACAAGAGAUUCGAACUCAUGAUCUUUAGAUCUUGAGACCUCAACUAUAGUCACUAAGCCAAUUAUUAUUACCAUAUCUUUGCAUUUUUAUACUUUUCCUAUAACUCUCUAUUUUUUCAAAAUAUCAAUACUAAACUCUAUUUAAUAAAUACUCGUUAAAUAUACCCUUAAACAAAUUAAUUCACCCAAAUUAUGGCAAAUAUAUAAGUGAAUAUUUAAUAUCUUUCUCCCUUUAAAUGUUGGUCGUGUUUGGAUUGCAAUUUUCUGAAGUUUUUGUAGAAAAUGUAAUGUAGCGAUUUGAUUUCUGUGAAAUAAAAAGGUGAUUAGAAAAUGUAUUCACUGAAAACGUAGAGAUUUUUUAUGGAAAAUCUCUUUCCUAAUAUUUUUGAAAACUACAGCAAAUGAUAUUGCUAUAAGCCCCUCCCCCAUUGAAAAAGUUAGAGGAAAAAAAUGAUAUUUUGUUAUUUGGUUUGUCUAACAGGUGUUUAUAGGGCACUCGUUAAGAUAUAUUUCAGGUGUUAUAUUUUUUUAAAUCUAAAAUUAAUUAGAAAAAAUAAAUAAAUACAAGAGAGGGUGUGCAAGAUUAAAUUGAGAAAGUAUAUAAAUACAAUGGAGGAUAAUAAUUUUUAGCAUAUAUAUAUAUAUGGUAGGUUAGAUGAAUAUUAUUUGUGUUAACAAUUACCUUAAGGACAGCCGUUAGUCAACCCAUUGUUAUUAGCCAAGUUUUAUUGCCACAGCAAUAUUGUUUUCAAUGUCCAUAUCACUAAUCACCUUUACAAGAAUUGACCAUAAUUACUGCUGUGACAAGGUUAUUAAUAGGUAUUAAAAAAAUUUGUCCUGACAUUUACGUUAUUAUUGCUGUGGCGAUAACACCAACCAACGACUACAUAUUCAUACACAGAAGUAACAUCUGACCAUUUGGGCGUUUGUGAUCGUUCGAGUUUUACUUUCAACAAUAGAUAAUAAACACACAUACCCAAAAUCUAAGAUAACUUCACAAGUUUACUCAAAAGGCAAUUACUGACUUAUGAGUAAACCUGAGGAUCUUAAAUCCUACACACACAUACUUAUCACCACCGACGUGGGAACAAGGAUUUUUGAGUUUUACUAUUUUUGAAUUCUAUUUAAAUUUUUACUAGUAUUUUUCACUAUUGUGAACUCAAACAGUAAGUGUGAGGGUCAGUUACAAUUUGAAUGAGUUAUCUGGUGUAUUGAAAUCAUAAUUGUGGAUCAUACGGUUGAAAGCAACAACCCGACCACCAAAGCCUUUAAGGCUUGAUGGGGUGGGAGGUCAAGGGUUCAAAUCUUGUCUCCUAUCACUUACCAUUAUAUGUGGCUGUCAUUUUAAAUAACUUAAAUCCAUACGUCUUGAAAGACAAAAAAUAAAUAAAAAAGAUUAUACAAUUGAAAGAUGCACCAAAUUAUUUGAUACUAAAAAUAAAACUUAGCCCAAUAAAAAUUUGUUCGAAUUUGGCUCGCUAACUAAUUAAACCAAACAUGAAUAUCAUUUUGUGUUGGUUAAACUUUAGAACUAAACUCAAGGUUAGCGCGAUUAGCAUAAAAUUUGAUAUUUAUAUAUAAAAACAUCAUACUAUUUGGAUUCGAUUUGAUAAAAAUUCAUUUGAGCUCUACUGGAGGAAUAAUCGAGUCAAGUAACAUAUAAUAAAAACCAUGAGAGGUAAAUUUUCCUACACAAAAAUUCACUAACCUGGCCCUAGUCAUGUCAAUAUCAGAGUUGAUGGGUUCCCAAGACAUUAGAAGCUAAUUGGUUGAACUGAUACGGAAUCAUGCUGAUAAGAUACAUAAACUUCUUGUAAACAAUGUUCGGACUUAAGUGCCAUGCAACCCCAUUUGGACGACAAAAUGUCCUUCACGGAUUCCACUUUCUAUACAAGCCAACCAUAUACCUUCUUGAUGCAUAACGCAUCCGUUUGGAUUAGUUAUUUUUGAAGGUGUUUCAAAAUUUUUUUAUUGUAGCAGAGUUUUUAUAGUAUGUUUGGAAUAUUUUUAGAAAAUAUUUUGGGAUAUUUAAAAGUAGAAGAGUUUUUAGAAUAUAUUUUGAGAUAUUUUUUAAACAUUAAAAAAAAUUUAGGCUACUUUUUAGAGUACUUUUUUAAAAUUUUAAAAAUAGUAUUUGAAAAACUCUUGAAUCCAAGCAGAGAAGUUUUUCCAAUCUUUAAGUACCUGAUAAAGUUGAGGUAAUAUAAGAUGAACUUGAUACUUAAGGUAGACAAAGUAGAGCCAUGUAGCAAUAUUUCAAUUUUCUUUGGUAAACCAACACAACCUCGAAGACACUUUGAAGGAAUACAACCGGCCAAAUGAUUAGUCUAAUUUUAAUGUUUUAGCAUACGAUACUAUGAAAGAUGGCAAAAGCAAGCUCUUGCAUCAAUAAUGACUUCCAUUACCAAACUACACAAAUUCUUCUAAACACAACAUGGUACUACUUGUGACGAUGAUGCAAUCCACAUCUAUGAAAGAAUUUUUUGGUUUAUUAAAAUUAAAGAGAAUAAGUGUUGAAUGAUUUUGUAUUGAUCUUGAAACAAGAGAUAAAUCCCUUUUGGUCCCUUUUUUGUUUUUUCUUUCGGAACCCUUUUGUUCACCUUCUAAAAAAUAAUUUGCCUAUUUGGAUUGCAAUUUUUUGGAGUUUUUGUAGAAAAUGUAUAUAGUGAUUUGAUAUGUAUUCGAUAAAAAGAUGAUUAGAAAAUAUGUUCACGAAAAAUGGCUUUCCAAACAAUUAAGCUCAAAAUGUCAUCAAAAUUAAGCUCAAAUGGCUUUCAAGACAUUUUUUCUGUCUCGAAAUGGCAAAAACCUCAAAUAUAAGAGAAAAUGAACAAAGUGUCAUCAAUUUACAGUGGAGCAGAGAUGCAAUUUGAUUUGGAAAUCUUCUUUAAUUGAGCUCAAAGUCUUCAUAGCAUUAUCUAUACAGAGAGCAAUCUCUAUAAUUUUUUUAUUCACAACAACCUCAAAUGUUCAUAAUGCCGUCUACCAAACCAACAAGUGUAGUGCAUUAAUUCCGAAUCAUUUGACACCAAAUCCUCGUCAACAGGCCGGCCUGCAAUCCCAAAUAUCUCCAAUCUAUUAGUACUAAUAAUUGGAAUGUCUAAUAUUCAUUGUGACGGUUCAGUUCCAGAUGUAUGUAUUCUUUGACAAUUAGCAUAACUUUUGUAAACAUUGCAUGUUCUCCAGGUUGGUCUACUUCAUAUAUAUUAGUGAUAUUAAUAUUAUGAUUUCUAGUUGUUUAUCUUUAAACUCCAUCCUUGAUCACACAUUUAGGAGUUGGUAAUGCAUUUCUGAGUUGUCAGACAUUUUAUAAUUCCAAAAUAAUUUCCGGGUCACGAAUUUCAAUUUUUUAUUCAUUUUCAUUUUUAAUGCAUUUCGUGAAAUGUUCUAAAACCAAAUGUUUUCAAUCUGUGAAAUCGUCUGGAACUGUUGAUUGAACUGUGAAGUUUAAUUUCAGAUUGGCAGGAUUCAACUUCCUUGUUUUGAAGCAAAGGAAAAGCUAAAGUCUUUUUUUUUUUUAACUAGUAAAAAGGGUUAACUGCAGUUUCCAGUUUUUCAAUUUUUAGUAAAGGAGAAAAAAUUUAUCUCGGGGGAUAACGUUUGUAGUAAUUUUUUUAUGCACUGUUAGUGUAUACACGAGCGGGUUUAGAUGUAUGACACAUAAUGUGAUUUCAAAUUUGAAAUUCAUUUUCUACAUAUGUGACAUAUAUCUACACUUGUUAGUGUAAAAAAUUCACUACAUUAACAGUGGAUAAAAACUUAAUUCUAACGUUUAAAUGUCCAAAUUUGGGUGAAGUUUGCCAAACUCUUUUACUUCCACCUUUUACUUGAGGACAUUUAUGUGCAUUCCUGGCAAAACAAGGGUGGAAAAAAAAAUUCCACUUAGGACAACUCUUUCUCCAUAAAGAUAAAAUAAGAUAGUUAUAAAUAAAUUAUAAUUUUACAAAACUAUGUCAUGGAUGGUGAAAAUUACAAUUGAAUAACACUACAAAUUAACCACAAGCAGGAGAAGAUAACAGAGUACAACUAUAUAUUACAUAGGAAAAAUGUAAAAGGGGUGCCUUGUUCAAUUGAUUGCAUUGUAGAAGUCCCAAGUUUCAACUCCAUUGACCCCGAUUUUUCUUUUUCUUUUCAUAAGAAGCAAAUUUUAUUAACGGAUUGCUGAAAAUCGUUUAGCACGAUUUGAUUUAUAUCACUGUCCAUUUUUUUACGUCACUGGUUUUAAUGACAUGCUAAACAUGCACGAUCGUAAAAAGAAGAUAAUCAUGAGAAUGACAAGAAAUUAAAAAUCAUGAAAUUGUCAUAAAGGAAUGGUAAGAAAUCAAUUACUAAUUUUAUAUACUACCAAACAUCACAACUACACCAAAUUUAAAGGCAUUGUACUUAAACCAAAGUCUCUUUGAAUAUGCCUUUGACAGGCGAACCCAUAAGGAUUAUCCAAACUAAUAAAGGAAAAGGGAAUCAAGAAUUGCAGGCGUGAAUGAUUGGCCAUGAAUGGCGGAGGUCGUGAUGGAACCAUGCUGGCUUUGUUUUUAAUUUUUCUUUUCUUUUUUUGGUAUGGAUUUACACUUGAUCAAUAGUUAAUUUUUUGGAUUAUUUGGAACAUAUACCUAAUAUCAGAGGUUUUUUUUUUUUUUUUGAAAUGUUCAUCAUACAUCAUUCUAAAUCAGUCUCUAGGCAUCAGCUUUCAGUUGCUAAUUUUUGGGAUACAAUCAUACUCAAACCAAUUGAGCUUUUCCUAACAUCAUGGAAGUGGUGGACUACAUGCUUGAAGGUCUAUUAUCCACUUGUGAUAUAUUAGAUUUGGCUUUCUGGAUUUUUUUUUAAAAAAAUAUUAAUCUCAUGGUCAAUGACUCAAUGAUCUAUCUCAAUGAAUGCAAAACUGCUGUAACUAGAUGCAGAAAUAUGCACCAACCAUGCCUGGUGGUUUACUCAUCUCCUAUUCCCCUCCUGCUCGAACAAUCUUGCUGAAUAUGGUACAUACAACAGAAAAAGAGAGUAAAGAACAGACGACAUAAAUGAUUUCUAUAUCAGUUUUGUUCUUAUCCAUAUAUUCUCCCCAUUUCUGCUAUGGAGCCAAUAAGAAAGGCAGCAAAUUUACAGAAGGAAAAUCAAGAAAAACUACUAUAAACAACUAUGUAACACACUCAUCAGUGGGGCACCAAAAAUUUCAAGAUCACCACUGGACACUCCCAGUUACUGGAACUGUUUCUAUUACCACUUCAUGUCAUUUCUCUGUCUAUGUAUCUUCCUGUCUUUCUGUCUCUGUCUUUGCAAUCCACACCAGAAAGCUUGUGAACACGAAAAGAGAAAGGAAAGAGCAAGGAAACAAAAUCCCUCCGGAGAAACUGCAUGGCUGUUUUUAGCCCUUUCUAUUGCCCCCAAAGCAAAUCUCAUACCGCGUUUCUCACUUGCUGUUCCCUGCUUUUCUUUUUGCCUCACUGGAAAGUGCUUGCUUCCCAGCCUUUGUUAUUGGUGAAUUAAUCCCAUUGGAAAGUCUUCUUGAUGGUGGAGCAGGAAUUAAACUCCUAAUAACAUCAAAACAUACAAAUUAGACCAAUAUUGCACAAUUCUGAAGACACAAUAAACACCAGGGAAAAGUUUUCUUCAAUCCCUCAAUCACAUUUGGUCUUGUUACCAACUAUGCCUUCCUUAAUUUGAAAAUUGAUAAUCAUAUAUUUCCUGCUUAAGAAGUUGGAUUUGGAAUGAAACAUCUAUAUGCUUUCUAAAGGGGCUUUUCAUUUCAGUGGUCAAACCAGUGGCCAAAAGGGUGGAAAUAGAUUUUAAAAAGGAAAGACUGUCAUAGGAGUGUGAAGAGAAACAGGAAAGAAAAUUAGCUGCAAUACCUUAUCUCUGGAGAGCUCUUCACUUGUUUUGGACUAGGUUUCUUUAACUUUGACCCUGUGCUGUUGGACACAUUGGUAACUUUGUGAACAUUGGGUUGCCAAAGAAAAUCCUGCUCAGAAGAAUCACUGGUUGUAGCUUCUAACUCAUCAGAAUCAUCUGUAACCAUCUGAUUUCUACUGUUCUGUUUAUGAUAAAACAUGUCGGGUAGCUGUCUACUUUCUUCUUCCCAUGAUCCUAGCGUGUUAUCUCUUCUUCCACCUUCUUGCUUAAUAACCAUAACCUUGUCCACCCAAUCACGUUCUUUCUCAUCAUCCUUCAGACCAGGACUUCCAACAGGUAGCCAAGGAGGCGAGUUCAUUAGUAAGUCCUGGAGAUCUAAGCUUUUCCUUUUUGGCUUUGAUGCACAGUUAUUCAUAAUCUGCAGAUAGGAUUGCAAAUUGUCAAGCCUCAAUUCCAAUGUCAUCAACUGGCAUUGAUUAGAAAUGUGUAUAAAUAAAAGUAAUCUUCUAAUCCUCUGAGAAAUUCUUCAAGUCUCUUAAAUUUGCCAUCACUUUAAGAACCUGUCUGGGGUGGUUUCGAAGCUGUGUUGCCUUUGCAAGUUAUUGUUCGAUUUGCAGCUUCUGGAACAAAGAAUGAAACAGAAAGACAGAGAAGGGCCGAGGAUGACAGGGGUCACAUUUGGAAAAGGAUAAAGGGAAAAGGAAAACAAUGACUGAGUAGAUGUGAGCAAACACAUUAAACCAUGUACCAGCAGACAACUCCUGCAGCAGACUAAGUGCAUUGCUUCACCAAAAAUAAAACAUUUUUUGAAGAACUAUUUUUAAAGACAAAAGAAAAAAGAAAAAGAAAGUAGUGCAGAAACUGCAUAUACAAAGACUAUCAGUUUUGACCCUGACAACACUCCUCCUCCCCCUGCAGGGAAAAAAAAUGGCAACUUGUUCCAGGAUGAAUAACCAAUAACUUGAAAAAAAUUCAAGCAGCCCAGUAAUCCAAAAUAUUGACAAUAAGGAAAAAAAAUUUCAGUUCAUACCUCUAGGUUAUCCAUGUCUUCUAUCUGUUGCUUAUGAUCACCAGAGAUACUUGAACUUUGCCAACUAGAGCGUGAAGGUGAAGAUCCAGCUGAAGACUUCAACCUGAAUCUCUCUGGACUGCUAGAUCCUGAGUACUGAAGGCGCACUGGUUCUCCUUCCUUUCUUGCUAAAGCCGCCUUGAGGCUAGCAAUCUGAAGAAAAAAAGCAUAAUGGAAAUUUUCUUUUGGCGAGAAACUAAAAAUGAAAACCACAAGAAGGUGACUGCCACUUAUAAGAGAAGAAUGAAAGCAGUGGUAGCUCUAUGCAAGUUUUAUGAAUGAAAUGAAACAGUGGUAGCUCUGAGCAAGUUGUACGAGUGAAAUAAUGAUAGAACUUCCUCUGAUCUUUUGUUAAAAAGGCUGAGAGGACUAACGAGGGAGUUGGUUUAGAAGGACUCAAAGAAGUUAGAAUGAAGACCUGUUCUUUUAGCUCCUUCACAUCAGAAUUUUCUUUGUUUGCUCGAGCAGCACCAAGCUCAACAGAAGAAACCCGUUCUGCAAACUUAAGAGUGCUGAUCGUUUCUCCAAUAGCAUCAUGCUCAGGGGCGAUGUGAACAAACAUUAAUGUCUUUGCUUGCCCUCCUGAAAAUUUUGAAGGCCAAUAGCUAUAUUUAUGCAAGGAAAAAUAAAACAACCGCUUUAUGGGAAAAAACUAGAAUACCACAGAAUUACCAAGUGAAUCUUGCAGCAACUGUGUGAGUUUGCUGUUCCUGUAGGGAACAUGGGAAUUCUUUUGGGCGAGAGAAGAAAUCACAUCACCUAGUGCUGAAAGCGACUUAUUGAUGUGUUGAGCCUCUUUCAAUCGUUCACCCACUGCCUCAGUUUUGUCAACUCUUUCACUUCCUGCCAGGUCAACAAGAUGCAUGCAACCACGAAGGAGUGUGCCAGACGACAAGUUUUUUCCUUGAACAUGAACCGUGAGACAACUGCAAAAUUAAGCCGAUGCAAGAUAAAGAUGCAGACCAGGAUAGCUGAAGACUCCCAAGCUCAAUGUAUCAAUUGAUUUCUUGCUCCACAAACAUAGAUAAAGCAUUAAAUCUCUUCCUUUUUAAUUAAUUACCACACAUAAAAGAAACACAGAGCACAUUGCAUGAACCUCCACAUCCAACAGGAUAAACAAAGGACUGUGUUGAAUGAUCAAUAAUUUAAGUCUAUACCUGUGAGAACGACUACUGCGAUCAUUCAUAGCUGUGGAACCAACUGCACGAUUUUUCUGUCCAAGGUUCAUCAGACUAAUGACACCAGAAGUUGAUUUUACCGGCACAAGAUUUGCAUCUGGAACAUUUAGACCAUUUUGCGAACUGUUUCGAAUUUCUAAUGUUUGUAGGAGUUAAGGACACAAGUACAAUAUCAGUAAAACUUAUGUUGAUAAUAAUAAUAAUAGUUGAAGACACCAGCAUGUAAUAGAAAGGAUAUCUUUUGUUAACACCAUCAGCCACUAGAAGAUCCCUGACUUGCUCAUUGUAAAUUUCAAUCAUCUGAACUGAGAUAUCAUAGGAAAUCGUAUCUUUUCUUUGAUCUGAGAUCAUAAAUAAAUCACUCAAUGCCCGGUAGUUCACCCCCAUGGUUUUCUCUGUAAUAACGUCAGGUCCGGUCUGUUCAAAACCAAAUAAGUAGCGUUUAUCAAAUUAUAGGAAAAGAAUGUGCUAGAUGGAUGCAUUAAAUGCCUGAACUUUCAAGCACAGUAACCAUAGAAAGUCUAACCAUCGUAUGAGUUUUCCCAGAUCCUGUUUGACCGUAAGCAAAUAUGCAUACAUUAUAACCAUCAAGGACAGAUCGUAUCAGAGGUUGAGUGUCUGCAAAUACUUCCGCUGCAUAUUGUUUAUAUAUCCACAGAAAAUGAAAGAAAGAAUUAGUGCUAAAAAAUGGUUAUAAACAGGAUCUGUAAAGAAUGUAAAUUUGGAAACCUAGUGACCUUGGCUUGCAGAUGGACCAAAAGCCUUGUUGAAAGUGAAUGAUUUCCUCCCUUCUUUUCCAUAUUUGGAAGGGGUAAUUAUUGUAAUACUACCAUCAUCUAUGUGGUCCACAGAGCUCAGUUCAUUAGAUUGCCCUUUUACAGGUCUCACUCGACAAUAAACCCUAAUAUUUCCUGUACAGAAAUGAAAUCAUUGUAUGGUAUAGAGAAGUAUUGCCAUGAAGCAUAUAACUUCAACCAGAUAUUAAAAUGAUUACCUUUGAGGUCCUGCACUUGAUUGUAUAGCUUCCUAUUUUCUUCAAGAACUCUCUGAUAUCCUGAAGCAGCAUGGGCUAGGCUGCGCAAGUGCGUCCCUGGAAAGGAAAAUGGUGCAGUGACUUAUAGUUUCUUUUCUCAAUCUCUAUCGACAAAUAUCUACCAGCAGGAAACGGACCAUGUACCUAGGUUGCUAACUUCCUCAUUAUACUUCAUUUGCAGAAGGUUUAGGUCUGCUUUUGUAGAUUGGAUGGUAGACUUCAAUACCUAUUUAAAAUCAAAAUCAUCAUGCUAAGCACCUUUAACUCACAAGCAAUUAAGUAUUUCAGAAUUCAGUCAUGCAGCAGCACACCUGAAUCUCUGUAUGCUGCUUCUCAACCAACUUCAGUUGCCUCACCAGUGUCUGUUUAGGCUGUUUCUGGUUGUCUGAUAUUCCAUCAUCAGUGUCUUUUUUGUCGCAGCAUUUUUUGUGUAGUAUUUCAGGAGGUGUCCUAGUUUCCAUCUUAACCAUUAAAACAGAAACAAACACAUGAUCCAUCUUAGAUAAGAUCCAUAAAAAUUCAGUUCUAGAUGAGUUAGAUAACCUACAAUUAGAUUUAUCUUAUAAAAUUCCAAUUGAAUUUGUGGAAAUAUGAUAAAAAUUGGAUACCUCCAUAGGAGAUGGUAUCAUUGGAGAUUCAUAAGAACCUGAAACAGCCUUAUCUCUUAAAGAUGCUUGUAUCUGCUAAACCACAAAAGACUCAAACCUAUCAAUAUUUAUUUCACUAGAUAACAGAAGAUCAAUUAUAACAACUUACAGAAAUAAGAAAAUGUCAACAAGUCAUCAAAAAAUUUGUUAGGCAAUAUAAUUGUCAUCUACAGUGGAAAUAAGAUGAGAUUGGGAUAAAAAUUGGAUACCUCCAUAGGAGAUGGUAUCAUUGGAGAUUCAUAAGAACCUGAAACAGCCUUUUCUCUUAAAGAUGCUUGUAUCUGCUAAACCACAAAAGACUCAAACCUAUCAAUAUUUAUUUGACUAGAUAACAGAAGAUCAAUUAUAACAAGUUACAGAAAUAAGAAAAUAUCAACAAGUCAUCAAAAAAAUUUUUAGGCAAUAUAAUUGUCAUCUACAGUGGAAAUAAGAAGAGAGGUUCAGCUAACCUGGCCAUUUUGGGUUGCUAAGCGGUGCUCAAAUUCCUCCAUAACUUUGCUUAGCAUGUUCUCCACAACCUGUAACAAAUGGAGGAAAUCUUCAAUCUCAAAAAGCGCACUUGGCAAGUAAAAUCUACCUUACCUAAAGAUGCAAGGGAGAAAUUCUUCACAAUGUCAAUGUGCUUUUAAAGUGGACUCUGUGACACAGGAAAGGUAAUCCGGCACAAAGGAUAUUUAUACUACAAACUCAUUAAAAAUUGACAUAAGAUAUGACCAUGUCAAGGAUCAAAGCAAUUGAUGCUAGUCUAUUAGGUUACAGCCGCAUCAUCUUCAUCUGGAUCUGUGAGAAUUCUCCUCUCAGGCAUGGGAUCUAAGAGGAGUGAUUCACAUCCUCAAAUAACAAAAGCUAGAAAGAAUAUAUGACAUGCUAACAUCUCAUAAAAUCAUUUUGUCAGAAAAAUGCUAUUUUUGCAUUUUUUUCAAGUGUGCUUGUCUCAUAAAAUUAUAUUAGAAAAGCAGACUAGUUAACAAUGAUGACUGAAUGCUCAGACAGGCAAAGCAAGGCCGUCCUGAUCAACCUAUCAGAUGAAAACCCUUUGCUAAAAAAUUAGAUGAUAGCAAUAAAUAAGAUUUAAAAUGACUUACAAUUGGGAUAUCUUCCUGCUUCUUAUCCAAAAGAAGUUCACGGACAAGCAUGUUUAGAGAUGGAGUUUUACACUGAAAAUGAAAAUGCAGAAGAAGAUUUACAUGCUAUCGGUAUAACAUAGUGAAAAUUACAUUUGCAACUUGGUAAACUAACUUACCAUUUCACUGUUUUCCAAUCCUAGAUCACUGAAUGAUAACUGCUCGCUCAAUGACCUAUCAAGGGUUUUGUCACUCAUGGACGAAGUCCUUGAUACGGAAUUCAUGAAUGGUUCUGAAUUUCUCAGUACAAAUUGCUUUCCAGAUGGGGCAGCUUUGACAUUUCCAAAUUUCCACGAUCCAUUUGCACCUCCUUGUUUCCAAUCACUAUAUGACUUCAGUGCUAGUACACAAUUCACCACUCUUGAGGCUUUCCCUCCCUAAGUAUUGAACACAUGGGAAAAUUUGUCAUGGAAGACCAAGCAAAUGACGGAUUUUGCAGCAUCUAAUUGUGAAAUUGCAAUUCAUGUGAGCAUUUUGCAUCAAAUUGGAGAAAUUGAUUAUCUCCUACGUGUAUUUUGAGAAGUAGUAGCCUGCAACUGCAAAGAUGACCCACAUACCUGUUCCAAAUCAGAGGCUUCAAAUGUAGGAAGCCCCAUCUCCUCUAUAGCUACAAGAAAGUUCCUCACAUUUUCAAAGUACUGGUAUGCUGAAAGUGCAGCCCCAUCAGGCACAUUAACAGAAUCACAAGGCAUUUCAACUACCUAAUAGCCAAAGAGAAAAGUAAAAAAUUCAUCAACACAUUGAACCACCAAACAAAAAAUAACACCGUACCAAAUUAAAAAGCUCAAUUAAUCCUACUUUUUGGACUGCACCAGGCUGAACCUUGUUUAGAACAUUGCAAAGUAUUAUCCCACUUCGCAAUCCGAGUCUAAAAUCUUCUUCUGAAGGCUCUGCCGGCAAAUCUUUGCCCCCAACAACUCCAACUGCCUUCCUCAACCAUCCAGCUGCUUCAUAUCUUCUCAACGCUACAACACCAUUAUACAUCCUCAGGUAACAAACACACAAAAAACAGAAACCAUGCACAAUACGAUGAAUCCACAAACCAAUGUCCACCCCACCCCAAUUAGCUAUGAUAACAUGGACAAUGCUGAAACACAAGUAUUCGACUGGAAUCUUUUGUACAUGUGAAAGAAAGUAAGCUGAUUCGGGUAGGUGAAUGUUACACUUACGAUCACAUAAAUACACCUCAUACAUGGAAAGAAUGCAUUACAACCCACAAGAAUAGAAUCGCGUCAUUUUUAAGAAGAUUAAAAUAUGGAUAGGAUAAACACAAAGAGACGGAGAUUAAUGAACAAAAAUAGAGUGCAGAAUACAAUAAAGACAUGAAUUUUGAAAAUGAUCAUACAAGCUUCCUCAGCCUUUCUUGAAGCCAAAUCAAUGUCAUUAAGCCUCUUUCCAUGCUGAUGAAGAACGUUCUCCACCAUUGACGCCACAGAAAAAUCCAGUAAUUCCUCUGUAGCCAUUGUUCAAUUGCAGCAAGAAAAACUUGAUCCUUGAUCAAAAACCUCAAGAACAAUUCAAGAAUCCUAAACUUUCAUCAUCCCAAAUCUCCAAAACGGCCACAAUGCAUGCCUAUAUCACUUUCCAGUUUGAAUCUUUUAUACUUAUACGUCAAAGAAAAACAGAGGCUUGUCAAGGGAAGAAGAUGAAUGUUCAGAGGAAAAUGAAGGGCCAGUUAUAGCAACGCAGGAGAGAGAGAGAGAAAAAGAAAAACCGGGAUGUGUUCUUUUUCUCCCUUUCUUUCUUUCUUUUGCCUUUUUUUUCCUUUUUUUUUCUUUGAGUUGUAUUUGAAAAUUGGUCUUUUUUGAAACUGUAGAAUAGUUAAUACUCUUUGUCCUCUACAUUGCUUGGGAGGGGACUGUUGGGGGACGAUCCUUUUCUUUUUAUUUUCUUGUUAUACUUUUGUGUUUAGAUGCAGAGAAAGGUGGCGGAGGGAAGAAGGGAGGAAGGCAAAUGGGGAGUAAACCAGAAGGCCGAGGCAGUUUCCUAGCCUUGUGGUUCGGGCUCCUGAUGGUUUAUAUUCCACCCGUUUUGGAGAGAGAAAUGUCACCCAUAUUUUAGAGGGAGUAUUUCACUAACCAGAACUUUUUUCAUUUUUAUUUGGGAUAUCUUUGUUCCCAUUUUGCCCUUUGUUCUUUUUUUUAACCUUUUACUUUUCUUUUAAGUUUCUCAUACUAAUCUUAUGUAGCAUUAUAAAAUUUACUUCUUUAUUAGUGCAUUAUAAUUAGAUUUGGGUUAAUCCCCAUUUUUUUUAAUUACACUAACUUUUAAACGCGAGUUUACUAGAAGAGUUCGUCUAGACAAGAGGUUCAGGGCCAAAAAAGUCGUGAAUAAAAAAUCGAGUUCAAAGCAAUAAUUCAUGCAAAUUCAUUUUUCAUUUAGAAUCAAAAUAGACAUAUUAUUGACUUUGCCCAUUUUUCUAGGGUCUGGAUAGCUUAAUUUAGCAAAUAGAGACAUUAGUCAAGCUAUUUUGAGGUUCUUGGCUUGACUUUUUUUCAGAUCUUUUUCUUUUUUCCUUCCCUUUUGUAAGGUUUGGAGUCUACUUUCAGACACAAAAAAAAAGGAAAAAGGAAAAAAUUUUCUUGGUAAUUCUAGCUAGUGGUCUGUUGAAAAGACUAGUUACACACCUAUGACUACCCUUUUUUUUUCUCUUUUUCUUCUCACAAUUAAUUUUAGAGAAUUAAAAGCAUAUUUUUUAUUUUAUGAUAGAUGUUAGGGCAUUGUAGUCUAAUUGGUUAAUUUAUUCUAUAAUACCUGCAGAAAUUUGUCUAUUAAACCCUAGAAUAUGGCAAUGUUGAUCAACUAUGCUUUAGAUAACUAGGAAGACCACAACCACGAAUACUUGAAGGUGCUUUUGAAAGCAUUAGGAUAGAUGAUGUUUCUUUAACCAUGAAAACUUAUUGUUUGGAAAGGGAUUUUUCACCAAAAAAAAGUCUAUAUUUUUCGUGAACACAUUUUUUAAUUAUCAUUUUAUCUCAUAUAUAUCAAAUCGCUAUAGUACAUUUUUUUUAUAAAAACUCUAAAAAAUUGCAACCCGACACGACCUUACUAUUACUUUGUCAGAAUGUUGCUUAGACAAUGAUAAUGGCAUGCAUAUGAUGAAGAAUAUCAGUAGUUCAUUUCCAUCCUCUUGAGUGUAAACUCAAUAGUUUGUAAGUAGUAGCCAUAUACACAUUUACUCAGUUCAAAAAGCUAUUUAUCUCAUCAUCAUUCAUAAGUUUGGACCAAUUCUAGGAUACUAUUCGGUUCACAAACCUAUUCGGACAGAAGAAGAAGAAGAAGUUAAUGCUUGUAAUGACAUGAUUAUCUUAAUCUAGUUAUAUUCUUGAGACCUAGACACUGAAAAGUUGUCAUCCACAGUGAAUUUAUAACCACUUUCUUUACGUGAUUAGGUGGUUAACAACUUAAUUAGUCGCUAUACUGUUAUAAAGGUUACACAUCAACCAAACGUAAAUUUGAAGUAAAACCCAAAAAAUGCUAAUAACAUCAAGCAGGAGAGGAAGUUUAUCCGAAAUCAUCUAAACGGAAAUCUUUCCAACUUUUGAUGUACUUAGCCAUAGAUUAAAAUUAUAUUCCAAUGUGCCCUUAAAAACUUACUUCCUAAUUCAGUUUUUUUUUUCGCACAUGUUUGUUAUUAUGGACUUUAAGUGCUAAGGACAAAUAGCUUAAUCUACAACUCCACAUCUUAAUUAGUAUUCAAGGUAACUAAUGAUGUUGUUAACAUCUCUCUCCAUCAGUAUAUGCUACAUCAGAUAUCUGACCAACAAAACAGGAAGCCAUGGACAAAGAAAUUUAGUCAUGAAUUAAAUUCACAAAAUCAUUGCAAAAGUUUGCAUCUCUUAAAGCUAACAUUUUUGGAUAAGAGAUGUUGCUUCCUGUCCUGGAUGGCCCCGAGGGGACAAGAAUAAAUAUGGUUGAGAAUACAUUUUCGUCCCAAUUAUUAGGAAGCUAACAACACCCAAGAUUCAACCAAAGUUGGGUAAUUUCACUUCAGAUCUUGUAGUAGCUUGUACCCUAUCGUCAUUUGGUUGCUUAAUUUUAGCUCAAUCCAUAUACUAUUGUUAAAUUCAGGCGGAAAUGUUUUGGAAGUGGCUGUAUUUGUCCUAACAUCACAGGGCAUGAUAUCUUAGUGCUCCUUUAUUUGGUGUAUUACAGGCCAAAUAUGUUAAGAAUCAAAUCAAGAUACUAAUAUUGGGAGGUAAUUGUAGCAAAUUCAACUACAAUGGCCAAAGUUUUACGAGCAAACUACAUUGUCAGUGUGUGAAAUUAGUCCACAAAAUUGACUCCAACCAUGUUCUGGUUUAAUUGAGGAUAGAAAAGAGAAAAAAAGGGCAUUUUCCUUUCCAGCAACAGUCCAAAAUCCGAAAGAUCAAACACAUAAUCAUAAGUUUAUCCCAUCAUAUGAGAAGUCCUAUCUUGAGGGGUUAUUUCUAAACUGAAGUAUACGGAAAUCUUUGGACAGAUACAAUGGAAAAGCAAAAGAAGUGCAAUAUGAGGGACCUUGUACAUCUGUAGGUAUGACCUAAAGAUUUCUUUUUCAACUCCACUACUGGAUAUGAAGACAGGUUUAGAAAAAUAAGACUGAGGAUGGAAAAAGGAGGACAAAUUAUGCUUCUGCAAAGGAUAACCCCAUAUAUGUCUUGUACCUCUCACAUUACACUCAUUGAACAUAAAUGAUAAGAAUAGAACGAUCGAUGAAUCAAAUUUUUUUGCACAAACAGAUUGGGAUCACAUGCUAUGUUCGUCAAUAUUCCAAUAUUGAAGCAUAUCUCAAGAUUUAUUUUUUUCCUUUCAAGAGCAAGAUAUGUGAUUUGUGAAGCUUGUUAAUUGACACAAAUUCCUGCAAAUAGAGAACAAAAUGAGAUUGCGGGAAAGAAGCACGUGAGAUGUCCAAUAUAGGAACCAAGGAUAUAGAUGGAUUAUUUCCUAAAGUUGGGGAAUUGAGUGGGGCUAAUUGCAUAACGGAUCUUCUGUUUCAUUUUCUGUGUCACUCUCUGUCUUACUUUUUAUUAUAUUGAUAUUUUUCCUUCAUAAACAUCAUGUUUUAGUUCUUUUUUAUUUCCUUAAAAUCCAAUAACUAUUAAUUGAGUAAUAUACAAAAUUUAGCAAACUCAAAAAAUCAAAAUGCAUAAAAUUUGAGAUUUUUUAUGAAUUUUCUACUGUAUUUUUUAAUUUUUCAUUAUAUAUUACUUUUUUUAAACUAUGGUAUUUAUUUUUUACUCAAUUAAUAGUUAUUAGAUGUUAAGGAAACAAAAAAGAACUAAAACAUGGUAUUUAUGAAGGAAAAAUAGCAAUAUAAUAAAAAGUAAAAUAAAGAGUGACACAGAGAGUGAAACAGAAGAUCUGUACGAGGUAAUUGGCAGAAAAUAUGUUUUCUGUUAAUACUUGAAAACAAACCUUAUGGUUUGAAAUAAAGUUGGUAUGCGAAAUAGUUCAAAUCAUAUUGUUUUACAUGUAUUCUAAUUAUAUCUUCAAGAUAUCAAGAAUAGUUACGAAUAAAAAAAAGGAACCUUGAGAGAUCAAACAUCACAACAAAUUAGUCAGACAACGCAUAGUAUGUCAAAGACAUUCAUAUGUUAUACUUUACCCAAAAAAAAUACAUUAAUAUGUUAUUGAUGCUCUAAAUAGUUGGCCAUAAUUACAAACAAGAGUUGUUUAAACGUCAUCCAAAGAUUUAUAUGAAUAUUAAUUGCUUUUUGAGUCCAAAACUUAUGCAGUGUAGUUUUUCUCUUGUAAUGUAGUGAAAUUCUAACCUAUGGUAGUCUAACCAUCCUUUUUUUCCCCUCCUGUCGUUACUCUUAUUCCAUAGUUGUAUCUUUCCUAACACUCUCUCAAACUCUUUUGUAUUCUUUUUUUAUAAGUACUCUAUAUCAAACUUAUAGGUCUUGCCAUCAAAAUCACAAAACUAUAAAAAUAGCAAUCCAAAAUUUGGUCAAUCCUUGUUAAACAUUCAUAACGCACUUCUAAUUGCUCCACUCCAUAACAACCAAGAACAAGCCAACCAUAGAUUCUAGCCCAAGAGAAAAUGUCUCUAAUUGCUCCACUCCUUAAGGGCUAAGAACAAAAGAAUUCAGAGGAAAUUUUGAUGUGUAACAUGAUCACAUUCUUGUUAUAAUGGUAACUCCAAAACAGCACAAUAUCAUCAUUUAAUAUACAUUCUUGUGAGAUAAACAUGUGAUUAACUGAAAUUUGUCUCUAAUUGCUCCACUCCUUAAUGCUUUAAAUGAUUUGGCUUAAACUCAUUGCCGCCAAGGGGCUUUAUGGUCAAUUAAUAAACACCAUCAGUUUAAAUACAGGAUUGAACCGAAAGCUAUCUAUGUGAUUAGGUUCGGACUAGGCUUGUUUUACCAACGUGGGGCCCCCAUAAAACUGCACGCCGGCUGCCCGCGGCCGGCGGGAAAUCGAUCUUUGCGGCAAAAAGGGGCCCAACGCUUGGCCAAAGGCCCGCCAAAACAUGUUAACAAAGAAGCAUGUAUUAUUUUGGUCACCCAAUAUUUUAGCAGUAUUUCCGGUUUGGCACCUUCGAAUUAAUAGACUUGUAUUAAGCACAAAAGCUAUUUAAAAUAUCAUCCUUUUUGUGCUGAUGUUUCGUAUAAUUAUGUUAUUGAAAGAAAUUAUUUAUGUGGAAUAUUCUUUUAAAUCUUUUGUAAGUGGGAGAUCCUGAGUCUAAAAUUUUUAUUUACAACCUCUCCUAUCUUAUCAUCCAACUCAACCUUCCUUUUUCUGAGAAGUAUCAUAAACUUUGUUUUGAAUUUAAUAUGAUUUUUUAAAAUAGAAUUAGAAGUUGUAGCACCUCUGAUUUUUUUUUUAAAAAAAAAAAAAACUUAUGAAAGAGCUAAGAACAUAUUUUGAAAAGUAAUUGAGAAUAGAACAAAAAUUAACUCCUCUACAAUCAAAAUUGAAAAUAAGGCAUUUAGAAUUAUUUUAGGCUAGAUCCCAAAUAUCUCUUCCUCUGAUUGGAAGAUUUGAGGGAAAAAAAGCAAAUUUAAAUUAGCCAAUGGUGAAAAAUAUGAGAGAAAAACUAUAAUAACUAAAUAAAUAAAUAAUAUUCUCAUCAUAUUGAUAACUCCUUUUUUUUGGGUGGACGCGUGUCUGUGUUUUCUAGAGUUUGGGUAGGGCUCUCUUGUUCAUUUGAAAGUGAACUUGACUAGGCUUGACUUUGAUGUUGUUAGUUCUUCCAUUUGUCAUCCAUUUGGCAAUUGGCAUAAGAAUUGAAAUCGUUAAAGUGGGAAUCAAAACUAAUUAAACAAAUAUAUGCCGUAAGUUUAAGAAAUUUUUUUAUCCUCUAGGUUUGCACUUCAUUUUUUUUUUAAUAUUUCACAUUUGUUCAUGGAAACAGUCAGUCCCAAACAUUUGUAGUAUAAUUUCUUCUUGCAAUUAUCACUACUCAAAUUAUACAUCGCUUACAAUCUUUUGUGGGGAAGCAAUUCAUCCUUAUCAAUUGAACUAACUUGUAUUGACUUUUUUCGGUGAAUCUAUCUAACUAUCUCGAGUAGACUCAUCUCCAAAAUGCUUGUGCAAAUAACUAACGAGCAUAAACCAAAGGAGAAUACAAUCAAGCAAAAAAAAUUCAAUGCAGGGAUUUCUAAUGCCAGCAGGAAUGUUAUUAAUCAAGAAAUCUAGAACUUCCUUAAAAUUUGUCAUAAAAUACAAAAACAUUUCUCUAUGGCUUCCUGGAAUUAUGAUGGCCUCCUCUAUUAACUUUUUCCCGUUGCUAUUAGUCUUUUGCCAAUCUUAUUUGUAAAAGGAAAGUCUAAAAUCAAACCAUUUGUUAAAACCAACAAUGUAUAACUCAAAUUCAAACAUGAUAUAAAACAUUUUCUAGUACUAUUUGGCUUCAAUUAGAGUUUAAACUCGAGAUCUCUCGGUCCUGAAGAUAAAAGAGUGAUGCUGUAAAUUUAAAACUACAUGAAAAAGUUGUAUAAUUAUCAACAAUCACAUGGUAUACUCGUGUAUAAUUAACUCCAACUUAAUUACUUAUAUAUCGUGGGCAUAACCUGUAGAAGUAACAAAAUUAGUCCCUCAUUGUGGAUGGACCAUUCACAGAAAAAUGCCUUUUCCUUGUGAAGGUAAAUGCCAUCUCUCCUUGCUGCAGUGUGUUAGGAGAUUAAAAGCUUUGCUCUUUCCCUUCUACAAAACAGUCAAAACAUCCUCUUCCAAAUUUAGCAACGUUGGCAUCAGAUUCAGACAUGUAUAGGGCUCACUCUCUUAAUCACUAUCAUGUCAAUUACUUGAUGCCCCAAAGCUUUGAGAGGAGCGACACAUCUUUUUGGUACCGGCAUUGAGAAGCAAAAGUGUAUGCUCCUUACCAAACGAUAAACUGACUCUUGAUAACGAUUGUCACAAAAUUUUGGUCCCCUUUUAGGGCAAUGAGGUCUUCAUGAUCAAGUUUUAAAAAUGGGAUUGAAAAUCAGGAAUAAGAGGUUUUGCGUUCAAGUCUGGCUAAUGCUAUUUGUGGGUUGAUAAUUGUGAAUGUUGACCAUAGUUUGUUUUAAAGUCUUAUUAUCUUGUUUGAUAUUCUCAAGGGCCAUAAAUAGGUCAAGAGAUUUAUGGCUCAAGGUUGAUUAAGCUGUAGAUUGAGAAACAUUUGUCAUUCUUGAACCAUAGUUCUUAAUUGCAAUAAUUAAACCAAAAUUUGCAUAUGAAAAUGACAAUUUCUAGUUUUAUUAUUAAUUUCUUCAAGUCCUAAACGACAAAAACCAAAAGCAUUAGCUCCUAGCCCCUAGCUCCUAGCUAAUAGCUUGAUAGGUUAUUUUCUGAGCUUACUUUUUUUUUUCUUUUUUAAAAAAGUUUUAACUUUAUUUAGUCAAGACUACUUCUUUUCCAAAGUCAUAGUUGAAUAUUUUUCGAACAGAUGGCCUCCUAUUUCCUAUGAGCCGCUGCAACCUGGCCCUUCAUUCUUCUCCCCCAUCCUUUUGCAUUUGAAUAAGUUCUGCUGAUUAAUUUAUUUGACACAAAAGACAUGAGAUUUUAGCCUCAAUCUCCAGCAAUUGAUGAAGUAUCGUAGACUUUUUAAGAGUAAUCAUGCAGUAUAUAGUACAAAGAAGCUAAAGAAUGAACUAAACUAACAAGUUGAUGAAUUUAUUCCCAACAAAUCAUUAUGGCCCCCGAGUUUUAAUCAUGAUUACUGGCAUUUCUUUACAAAUUAUCUUGUCUGGAUCAACAAAUUGCAGUUGAAAGUACAAGAAAAGUAUGAGCUUUUUACAACCAGCAUCAACCUCUACUGCAUUAGGAGAACUUCACUUAACAAGAAAAAUACUUGAUAUCCUUUUAGGUGCACAGGAGUUGGAGGAUACAAAAUCAGCACAAUGAAAAAGUAAUUAUAUCUAGUGUUGUUAGAGUUUGAAUAUCUGACAAUGUUGAUACAAAAGUAAUUUUUUGGGUGUUUGUCUAAACUUUACUGUAGCUUAUUGUAGAAGUUUUUUAAAAAAUUUUUGAAGUGUAUAAAUUUUUGAAUAUUUUGAAGUGUAUAGUUUAAAAAUUUUGAGAAGUUUUUUGAGAUUGCUGUAGCAAAAGUUUUUUAAAAACUUGUAGCAGAUGAACUUGACAAAAAACUCAAGUGCCAAACAGGGAAUCACUAUGGCUAACUACUCACCCGUUUUAAGUAUAUAAUGCUUCACUAGAUUUUGGAAAAAAAUGCCAUGUUAUUGAUGCGACAGCCAAAGGUAUAACAUAGGGACUGUUCUUGGUUGUUGCUGAUUUUGCAAAAAAGAUAAUUAAUCAGAAUCGACAAAAGUCAUUCUUGGAUUUGUUUUAGAUUUUGGCUUUCACAAAAGUAAACGAGAACAUCAGAAGUUCAAUUAUUAGAGUCUAAAAUCAAGUGAAAUAAUUAAACAGUAACUCUAAUUGAUUGACAUGUUUUAAUAAUCCUUUUUUGGCAAAGCAAUAGGUCAAAUUAUAAUCCACGCCUACCUCCUUAAACCUUUAAAUUAGAUAAUGUCGGCAUUGAGGGCACUGAGGGGGGAGGAUUGACUACAAAUUGAUAAUCAGGGACUUGGCUCUCCUCAAUGGGGAUGUUUUUCUUUUUAGGAGCAAAGGUCCCCAUUUUUUUCUAUUUUAUGAAGUGAUAAACCAUCUUUAUUCCGUCUCUUCAUGCUGUAAAUACUACUUUUUCCAUUAUUAUACACACUUUGGUCCCCUGAUUAGGCCUUGAUGUGAUAAAUUGAGAAAUUUGAGCUAAUUAUUACUAGUUAAAAACAUAUGGACGUCAUGAGCAUAUCCCCCCCCCCCCCCCCAUUCUGCUAAUCAGUGAACUGGAACAACUCAACGUUUCUAAAGUUCCCUCUGCCAUGUUUGAAAAGGAGACGAAUGACAUUUUCUAAAGCACAAUGUUGGAGAAAGCGAAUUGUUUCUAAGUACUUAAAAAGACAGAAAGGUAUGUCCAACAUUAGAAUUUAGAACUUAGAUCACAUCACACCAACGUUAGAAUUGAACUUUGGUCUUUAAGUUUUCAAUUCGUCCGUUUGAUUAUUUUUUCGGGUAGAUUACCUUUUACCUCAUAUAAUUUGGUACUUUAUCACAUCACUCUCUUAUAGUUUAAAAAUCUAUAUAUAACACCCUCAUAGUUUAGGUUAAAGUGUUACUGUUAGUUUUUCUGUUAAAACUAAUGGUUAAUAGUAAAGAGUCAAAGUCAAACUAAUAAAUUGACAAAUUCACUCUUUCACUACUUUUUCUUCUUUUUCCUUUUUUCCUUUUCUUUCUCUCUCUUUUUUUUUUUUUGGGAAGAGAGGAGAUGAUUUUGAAAUCCUAUACUUUGAUUCUUAAAAUCUUAAGCUUCUCCAAAUACAAAAGAGUUGGAAGGAAGACAAAAAAUAAAUAAAUAAGAAACAAAAAAGAAGGAAGGGAAAUAUAAAACAAAUAAAUAAGAUACAAAAAAUACAAAAUCUUUUUUUACUACAAAUAUGAUUGUAGGUUUUCAAACCAAAUCUUUAAUGGUAUUUUCUGUUUUUCAUUUAUCUAUUUUAUAUUUCAAUUUCUUCUUUUUUAUGUUUGGAGAAAAAAUAGAAGUAAUGGAAGGAUAAAUUUGUCAAUUUAUUAGUUUAAAUUUGACGUUUUACUAUUGACCGUUAGUUUUAACAGAAAACUAAUGAUGACAUAUUAACCCAAAUUAUGAAGCAGUAGUUAUACAUAAAUUUUUAAACUAUGGGGAUAUAUGAUAAACACCAAAUUGGUAAAAGGUGAUUUACCCUUAUUUUAUAUCAUAUGAUAUUUCAAAUCGUUACAAGUAACACUCCACAGCAAGCAAGUGCUUGUAUUCAAUUUCAGCUGAUAAACUGCAUACAUGGAGGAUUAAGGAUCUCCCCAUACAUCAAUAAAUAAAGUUCACAGACAAAAAGCGAAAAAGGUUAGGAGGGAAUGUAAAGAUAAUUAACCAUUAAAACAUAAAACUUUUGUUAACUAUGGUGAAUUAGCAUUUACAAAACAUACUACACGUAUUAUCAGAUCAUUUAGAUAGACGAAUCUACAAAAAAAAAUUUAAAAAAAAAAGUGAUUAACCCAAGUUGAUAAAAAAUUUAUAUAUAUUUGCUCUACAUUAAUAUAUAUUCUAAAUUAAACACAGGACCGGGUCAACUAUUCAAUCAAAUGAUAUUGAGCAUGUUUCCCAUCUCUUCUCGAGAAAUAAGUGGGUUAUUUCUUUGUAAAAUUGUGUUCAAUUUCAUAUGUGGCAAUUCCGCCAAGAUGAAUAAUCUACACUGAUUAUGUAAGUUCCUCAGGAAUCUUGGAUUGUCUGAAUCCUAGAUUAGCUUGGACAAACGUAGCACUAGAGACAUUGGACGUAGGCAGUGACUCCAGUCGUAUAGUUGUCAUUUGGGCCUAUUAUCAUUUAAUCUUCUAACCCAACUUUGACAAGGGCAAUUGACCUAUUCAUAGCUAUCAAAUCAACUUUAGUCAGCCCAGUAUUUCUGAGGCGGCACAUAAAUACAAAAAUUCAUGCACGUUUAGAUUCUUUAGCAGAUUUGACGGCUAAGAAGCCGAAACCCACACGUAUACGCUACCAGUUAAAUGUUUGUUCUUUUCUUGUAUUCAUUUGCAUGUCGGCUAACUGUUGUGAGUUGUCUAUUUAUUGCUUUUCAUUUGGAUUGGCUCUCAAUUCCUUGUGGAGCUGAGCCAAUUAUUACGUUCAAAUCUUCAUGUUGACUCGUAUGAAAGUAAACGAUAUCUAAGUGCUUCUAGAUUAGAAGAUUGCAGAAAAGAGAAUCGAAACUGUAUACUGUGUGUGAAGUCCCAAAUCUACAAAAUGGCACGUUCAUAAUCAUUUUGCUCAAGAAAGUCAAGUUCACAAUUCAGUCAAUUGUGGUUGGAUCAAUAUAAAUAGAUUUACAACUUAACCCACAAAUAGUGAGGCGAACACUAACAUUAAAUUAAAUUCAACACAACUUUUUGAGAAAUGUUUAAUUUGAUGUGAAUAUGGCAUUUAGUAAUAGUUUUAACUUUUAUAUCGUCCAAAAUUCAGGAAAAAAAAAAAAAGUAAAACCACAACUGUGUAUUAGUUUAGAUCCAAAAUUCUGGUAAACCCGAUUUUCAAAAAUUUAAUCGUCCAAAUUGUGCCACAUCACACCAUAAUGUGACACGAUCUAGACCAUUAAAUUUUUUAAAAUCUGAUCUAUCCAAGUGUGAGUCGUAGUUCACUGUACUGAUACAAAUGAUUUCCAAAUAAAAGCCUGAGACGAGAUUGUGCAUAGCAUGUUUGAAUCUUGAUCCUUUUGUCAUAUUUUAGAACACUAGAUAAAGCGUGAAAAUCUUAUGAUCAUAAACGUGAUGAAUAAAUUGUCGAUUUGUUCAACAAUUAGAUGCUUCACAUGAAUAUGCAAAGCUAACAAUAUAAAUAGCUAACGUUAGAUACCCCUUGUUUAAGACAAUACUUACUUUACUCAUCAUCAUUGAAACAAAUAUAUAGCAAAAAGAAGUAUCCAUAAGCAAAUGCCAUCAAAUAUUAAAAUUAAAUUUAUUUAAUUGUCGCAGUAAAGCUUUUUUUUUUUAAUUAUCUUGUGACUUUUAUGCUGGAUUGUGAUUAAUAACUAACUAGUUCCCCAGAUGAUUAUGUGGUUCUUUUUUUUUUUUUUAUGAGUGUCACUAUAAGUGAAAUCAGUACGAGAAUACCUACUUUUAUUUUUUCUUAUUAUUAAAAAAAGCCUCAGAAAUUAGUUGAAUUCUGAUAUCUCAAGCUAGAAAUUGAUUUAACCACUAUCUAACUAUGCUAAAUAUUUUGGAUUGUAUAUAAUAUAUCUUCUACAUUAUGUGGGCUGGCUUUAUUUCUGUGUAGCAAAAAGAAAAUUAUAAUGCUUUAUCAAGAAAUUGAAAAAAAAAAAGGGAAAUUUUACUCUUGUUAGUCAAAGCUACUAUUGUUGACCUACCAAACCCACCUGCAACCUCUACUCUUUCGCUCUCAAACUCUCUUGAUCACAUGGAAAUCAAUUUUUUUGUUCACUAACCACCAAAUAAACAAUCAUUACUCAUCGAAUAUGUUCAGAGAAUGGUUCAGAUUUCGAAAUCAAAAUCUGAGUCGUUUUAUCAUGUUUUUUCCUCUUUGUUGAGUAUUUUACACUGGAUUAGUUCGAGUAAUUUAUAUUUCCUUGAAGGAAAAUCAAGCAAUCAAAUAAUUGUUGCAAAAAAAAAUGAGAUGUAGUUAGCAAGGACAAUGAGAAGCAUUUAUCAAGUCAAUUACAAUGGUUAUUUUAGCUCAAUUUCUGUUUCAAUUUUGACCUUUUAUUCAUUUAACUACUAAGAUGUAAAGGAAAAGAGAUAGCAAAAGAAAUUUUGGUGCAUCUUAGAUGUUCCCCACUUGGCUUAACAAAUUUAUUAGAGCUAAUCUAAAAUGUGUGGUAUUAUGAUGUGAUUAAUAAUGCUUCCUGUUAAAAUGUUAUAAGAUAAUAUAAGGAAAAACUAAAUAAUGAGUAUGAUGAUGUUAGAAAAAAAAUAACAGCUAGCAAUAUAAAAUAUAUAAGAAAAUUCAGUUACUAUUAUAUUUAUCACAUGAUCUCUAAGUGGUUCCAGAGGCCAAGGCUAUACAAGCUUUUUUCUAUCUAUUUUUUGUGGAUCUAGAGAUCAGGCCUAGAUAAAUUAAAAAAAAAAAAAAAGAGAUCAGGUCUAACAAGCUUUUAGUCUAUCUAUUUUCUAAUUUGUUUAGAAACAUAAAAGGGUAGGGUUUUGAAACAAAUCGUAUUACCAAUCGUAUCAUCCUAUACACGGCUCACAUCGAAGUAAACGAGUUCGAGUCGAUUUUAGUCGUCGAUUUUUAAGCUUGUGAAAUUUUGAAUUCAACAACUUAGCAUGUGUUCCAAUUCAAGAUAGAACAACACCAUACCUUCGGGGGAGAGGGGCUAGUGCAGUUGAAGUCUAGUACGAUUCCCGACUGUUAUAUUUUUUAUAUUAUUUGAUGUAUAAUUAUAUUACAUUAUUGUAUUUAAAAUAAAAGUGUUUUACGUGAAUAAAAUAUUCAAAAAUUUAAACAUGUACAACAACUGAGCAGAACUAUACAUAACAUAAUUAUGCUGAGUUCUUGCCCUACUUUUGGACUACCAACCGCAAGUGCCCAUGAUCCCAAAGAUCAGGUAAAAGAUGAACGGAGGACUCAAUAUCUUUACAAUAAUAAAGCUUAUGUAGGUAGUUAAUUUGGUGUUAAAUUUGUUAGUUUUCAAAUUUACCCUCAUCUUUAUUAUCCAUUAACCCUCAUUUCUAUUAUCAUCUGGCAUACAAUUUCUGCACAGCCAAAACUACCUCUCUCUAAUUCUCACGUUCUCGCUUACCAACCGUCUGUUUACUUCCAAUUGUACAUAUUUCUGUACAAUACACUUUUUGUUACACAUUACACAAAAUAGUUAUAUUCACUUGCACUAAUUUUUUGAUUUUUUAAUUAAUAAUAUUUUUUUUUUGCAAAUUGCACACGCAUCGAGUGUGUCUCGAUAGCUAGUAGUUAGUAAUGGGCUAAUAUACAAGAUCAUAUGCGUCUGCAUAUAUUAUGUGUAAGCAGUUAAGUUUCUUGAGGGUUAAAAGGUAGGGAGUAUGGAAUUUUUGCCUUUUUUUUUUAAUUACGAGUAUAAUACCAAUCCUUUUCUAAGUAGUACCUCAAUAGUAUGACUAAUAAAAUAAUUAUCUCGCAUAUUUUAUACUCAAUUUAAUACGUACGUUUUAAUUGCAAACUCUACAAUGAAUUUAACGCUUGGUCCUACCAAAAGAUCUUGACAAAUUCUUCUGAAAUUUAUUAUCCCCGAACCCCACAUGUAUAAUAGAAGCCGUGGUGAAUGUGGGGCGUAAUCGCAGAUGCCGCUCCAAGUCGCAUGAUAACGCAGUUGAAAACUUUGACAUUACCAUGAUAUUGAGCAAAUUAUGUGGGUAAUCACUGAACCUUUUGAAAAGUUGAGUUUUAACUACUUAACUAUUAAUAGUAUAUUUUUUUCAUUGAAUUGUUAAAGGUAUAAAUUUUGGAUCAUUCUGUUUGAUUUUACUAUUAACUCUGAAAAAUCUAACUGUUAAUAGUAUGUCUUGUAAAUCGUGUAGACCCUUAGAUUUGGCAGAGUGAAUGGUGAAAUCAGACAGAAUGGUCCAAAAUCUAAGUACUUGAUAGUUUAAUGGAUAAAAACAUACUAUUAAUAAUUUAGUGGCCAAAUUUUAACUAUUCAAAAAGUUCAAUGGGUAACGGAAUAUUUUGCUCCCAUGAUAUCUUAUGCACUGAACAGAAGGAAUCCAAUAUAGGAGCAGAAAUAAAUUAGUAUAAACUGACGUGCCUAAAUCCUAACCAUCAAUGUCAAUCCAACUUGCACGGCCGGACUUGAUCUUCACCGUCACUUCUCUUUGGCUGCCACACCCUGAGACUAGAGCGAAAAGGCGAAUAUGCUCUGUGUGGUGUGCAAAUUAAGAAAAAAAAUUAAAUUAUUUCUAUUAAAAUCAAUGAAAGUUAUCAAAGGUCCUUUUUUUGUCAAAAAAAAGAAGUUAUUCUUUUUUGGCAAACACAAAAAAAAAGAAACUAUUCGAAGUGGAAGCUAUUAAAAGCUAUUAAAUUUAAGUAGUUAUUUUUAGUAAAUUUCUACUUUUAUAAGGGUAAAAUUUUAAAACCAAAUCUCCUCUCAUGCGUUAUACAUAGAAAGAAAUAGAAGUUACUAGAAGUUGCUAAACUCAAGCAGUUAUUUUUAAUAAAUCUUUAAUAUGGUGAGGAUAAAUUUGGUGUUUGGAUUGGAGUUUUCUACCAAAAGUUUUUAAGUUUUUCGUGAGUAUGUUUUUUUAAUCACCUUUUUAUCUGAUAUACAUUAAAUUGCCAUAGUAUAUUUUUUUACAAAAAUUCCAGAAAAUAACAAUCCAACUGGGAGAAAACCAGGAGAUGACAUAAAAUUUAAUAUCAAAUCCCUUCUGCAUGGUUUAUAGAUAGAAAUAUAUCAUUCCUUCCUUCAAAAUUGAAUGUUUCAUUUAAACGAAACUAUUUAUGUUGAAUGUUAGCCUUCAGCUGAUUAUCCAUUCUGCGUGCAAACUUGUGUACAAAAAAAGAAAAGAAAAAAGAGUAGAAAGAUAAUUUAUUUCAGACUUAGAAAGUACAUAUAUAAUAGAGUAAAUCUUAUAUACAUCGAUAGUAUAUAUAUUAUUAAUCGCCAUGCUUCUCAUAAUUGCAAUUCUAAAUAUGGAGUACAUUAAAGUCUAUUGAGAAUGCAAAUAUGCAUAGCCUUGUAAGAAUUUCUUUUUCUUUUUCUUGUAUAGAAACUUGCAAGAAUUUCCCAGUGUAAGCUGGAAAAUAAAUUUUCUCCAAUCUCACAUGCUCAACUCUGAAGUUUGUCCCAAUUUCUAAGUGAAACAUUUUUAGCUAAAUACUUUGGUGCGUGUGUAAAGAAAUUGAGACAAGUGUCUAAUUGUGAAGAUCCUCAACAAGCCUUUUUUAAGAAUUAUUAAUCACUAGUCACUACAUUAUUAAUUACACAAUUUUCAGUUACAAACAAUAAAUUUAAGGAUAAAUGAUACUUAUACUGGAUUGAAGAUUUUUUUUUUUUUUUGAAGCUAAUAAAUAUCCUUUAGUUUUGAGUAACAAAUCAACUUAUUCUAUAAAUAUAGAUAAUUGUGAUUGGAAUAAUCUGUUGAGUUGUUGUUUGUGUGGCUAUAAAAGCAUUGUCAAGCAUCAAGCCAUUGUUUAGCUAAUUGUCAAAAUUCAUAUGAUUAUGAUUAACAACAAAUCAAAGUCAUGAUCCAUAUUGAAACCUCUCUUGCAAUUUUCAACUUGAAAUAGAAAAGCGGCUUUGUAAAAAUAUAUAAACUAGGACAUGAGAAAGUAUAUAGCUUCACAAAAUUUUUGAACUAAAAUCAUAAUGAAAAAUAGAAAAAAAAAAACCCCCAUACAUUGCAAUCUUUUGGGUUGAUUUUCUUACAGAAUAAUCUUUUUGAGAUCCCUUAAACCUUAAAAAAAAAUAUUUAUGAAAUCAUACAGUAUUAUACACUGGAAACAUUGCUUUUAUUAAAUUGUCCAUGAAAUCUUAUAAAUUCUACAUAUAAGAUAGUAUGGAAAACAAACAGAAUAAAAUUUCUAUGAAUAUGCAAUUCUCAAGAACUAUUGAAUGCAUAUUUCAACUCAGUGUAUAAAUUAAUGCCUUUUUUUUUUUGUUCCAAGAAUGAGAAUUUGUAGUGUUAUGGCGAUAACGCAUUAGCAAUAAUAGACAGUAGGAUUAAUUACUUCAAAAAAAAAAAAUCAUGGAUGAGUUUAUAUUGACCUUCUAAAGAAGUAAGGAAUUUCAAUUGAGACCCCAAAUUAAAGUCAAAAAGUUCGAAUUUGACCCUUAAAGAACAAAAUUUGUUUAUCUUCGCAACUUCUUUUUUCCUAAUGGAUUUCCAUUUUCUGAAUUUUUUGUCAAAAGAUAUACUAUAGUGAUUUGAUAUACGAGAUAAAAAAAAGUGUUUAAAAAAUGUGAUCACCAGAAAAACAUAAAAAAUUUUCUGCAAAAAACUUCAAUCCAAAAAAGUAAAAUUUUCUAACAACUUUUCAAUGUUGGAAGGUCAAAUUGAAACCUCUUUCACUUUUAGGGACUCAAUCUAUUGGAAACUUUGGUCAUUGUUGGAGGACCAAAAUAAAGCUAACCCCAAACAUUUGUUCAAGUGGAACAGAAAAGUUCCAAAAUCUGGGGUCCCAUUACAGCAAAUUUGCCUUUUUCCAAUUUAUUAGUUUGGCUCCUCAACCACUUUUGGCCAACCAAAACCAAGAUCGAAAAUUCAACACAUGGACAGAAACCGGCAUUCAGGGGUAAUUUAGUAAUCUCACAUCAACCCCAUUUCCAACCCAAAUCAAAAUCCCCCCCCACUAACUCUAUGAUUAGAUUAAGAUAUGGAUUAGAUACCUCCUAAUAUACGUUUUCCUCUCGUAAGCUUUAACGUUGUCAAGUCUCAUCAUCAUGACAGAAACACGCACUUUACACUACAAUUUUCACACACACACCCACGCACCCCUCGCUGGCUAGGCUUUCUUUCGCCACCAUACGUAUUCGGCCCCUAUAUCUACGUUUAUUUACGUACAGGUGUACGCACAUAUGUACGUAUAAGUAUGUAUUCCCAUCUAUGUCUGUAUAAAUAAUGAGGAGGUAAAAAUCUUUGCAAAUUGAAGUUUGCUUCUUGGAGCUUUCUCCCCCAAAAAGCAGGUACCAAACCUCCCGACUUCUCCCCGCCCUUUAUUUAUUCCCUUUUUUUUUAUCUCCUUCAUUUUCAACAAGAAGUUGUGGUUUUUCUAUUGAGAAAAUUUGACCUUGCCAUAUAUGGUUAGAAUUGUUCUUUAACUAAGAAACUCAUCUGACUGGGUCCUGAAUUUGAACCUUAAGUUAAGAUUAAGGAACUUUGGAGGUAUUAUUGAAGCUGGGUACUGUAGCAUAGUAAUUAUCUCGAUCUGGGGUUUUUGUUUUUUUGUGCUCUUUUGCUAUUGGGGUUUCAUUUCUGGAGAAUCCCAGAUCGGAAUAUUGUUGUUAUCAUGUAUUUAUAUGCGAUCAAAAUCUGAUCUUGAUGCUGUAAGUUGCCAUAUGGGAAGGUGCUUAUUUAGAAGUGAAUAAAUUUGGAGAAUAACUAGAAGAUUUGUUUGUUGCCUAGAUAGCUCAAAUUGGAGACCUUCUUGGUGUUGAGAAUCAGGGAUUUUAAUAGGAGAGGUGUUUUUUGGAGGAAGUAUUGAUAGGAUCUUGUAUUUACCAGUUUUGAUUUGAUUUGCUCAAGGGUUUUGUUAUAUGAUUUGAUUUAAUUUGAAGACAGGGUAUUUUGUGUUCCAGUCGGUGUGUGAAUUGAUGGGGAGGGGAGGCAAGGUUGGGUUCAAGCAGGGAAGUAGGAGGAGGGUUAGGCGAAUAGAUGAGGGUUCGGAUGAGUCAGAUGAGGAUUAUAUAGUGGGUGAGGAUGAAGGAUUUGAUGAGUCGGAAGAAGAGGAGUUUGUCGAUGAGGAUGAAUCAGAAGACAGUUUGGGUGAGUUUGAGGAAGAAGAGGAGGAUGAGGAAGAGGAAUUUGUACAAAAGAAGUUGAACAAAGUGAAGAAGGUCGGUAGACCCAAAAAGCGUUUCCCUCGGAAAAAACAAAAUGGAGCUGUUAAGCCAAAAACUAAGAAACGGGUUUCCUAUAGUGAAGAAGAUGAGUGUGAUGACUCAGAUGAAUAUGUUGGUGGAAGGAGAAAUGAAAUUGCAGAGCCAAGAAAGAAAAAAAGAACUUCUUAUAGAGAACGAGAUGAUGACAAUUAUGAUGAUUUGAAUGAAGAAGAUGAUGAUGACGACGACGAUGAUGAUGAGGAGUUUACGCUUGAUGAAAUUCAUGAUGAUGUAGAUGAUGAAGACGUGAUGGUGGAGAGAAAGAAAAAUAAAAAGUUGGGUAGGCCUCGGAUGCCAGAGAAGAGGAUUUCCAAAGGUCAGAAAAGAAAGAGGAACACCAAGGUUUCCAAGAAGAUGGUUAGAAAGAAACAAAGAGAGAAUCAUGGGUUGCCAAGGAAAUCAAGGCAUAAUACUGAUGGGGAGUUUAGAAAAAGUAAAACUAGAAUGGUCGAAAAGAACAAGAAGAUAACAGGACGGGGAGGGAGAAGGAGGGUGCUUUUGGAAUCUGAUUCAGAUUUUGUCAAUUCUGGUUUAUCUGAUUAUGAGUAUACAAUCUCGGAGGAAGAGAGAGAACAGGUUAGAGAAGCUAAUGAAUUCUGCAGAAGUCUGACGACUACUUUGAGGAGUUCUACUCCUGUAAAGAAGUCGAGGGAGGAUGAAGAAUCUGUUUAUCCGCAAAGAAAACGUCUAGUAAGAAAGGGUAAGGAAAAGGAAGAGGAUUUGAAAAUUGAAACAGGAAAGCAGGUGUGUGGAAUUUGUUUGUCUGAAGAAGGGAAGAGGACUGUCAGAGGGACACUGAAUUGUUGCAGUCACUACUUCUGUUUUGCUUGCAUUAUUGAAUGGUCUAAGGUGGAAUCCCGUUGCCCCCUCUGUAAGCAAAGGUUUGCGACAAUAAGCAAACCUGCAAGGUCGGACACUGGAUUUGAAUUGAGGACUAUGAUUAUUCAGAUUCCUGAGCGUGACCAGGUAUUAUACAGCCAUUCAUUUAAAUCUCCUUGGAGUAAAAUUAGAUAAUUUGAUAUUUCAAUUGAAGUGUGCAGCUUGUAUUGUUCUUCUAGUGAAUGUCCUUUUUUGGUGUACAGGUUUAUCAACCAUCUGAGGAAGAGCUUCGGGGCUAUCUGGAUCCAUAUGAAAAUGUAAUAUGUACUGAAUGCAACCAUGGGGGAGAUGACGCUCUCAUGCUUCUCUGUGAUCUAUGUGAUUCACCUGCUCACACCUAUUGUGUUGGGCUUGGACGUGAAGUUCCUGAAGGUAACUGGUAUUGUGAAGGCUGCAGACCAACUGCUCUUGAUUCCUUGAAUCCCCAAGGUCUGAAUCCUACACCCAAUCAUAGAACAAGUAACAGCUUGGCAGGUGUAUCAUCCCCCAUUACCACUGUAAGGGAGACUUUCGAUCUCAAUGAAGCAUAUGUUCCUGACACACCAUUGACUCAGGUAGCUGGACAGCCAUCUCCUAGGCUAUUUGGAGCAGACUUUCAAGCAACUUCACCUGCUUCUGGAUCUGGGGCUUUUACGUUAUAUGAAAGACGCAGAAUACAGCGUCAGAUACACCAAAUAUUUUCCAACAGAAGACAACAGGACACAGGAAUUAAUGGUAUACGGCCUACAGUCUCCGGGAAUGGCCUUUUUGGCUCUCAAGUUGGUCGGAUUCGGGAAUUAGCACCUCAACAUGCAGUAGUGCCAGAUGAGAGGAUAGCAUCUCAUAUACCUUUUCAGGGAAGAGUCCAGAACACUGCUACACACCUUGUGCAAAAUAGUGAUGCUUUUCCUCCUAUACCGACUCAUUUGAGAGCACCAGUGACUCCAUCUCAAGCUUCAACAUCUGGUGAUGGUUCUUUUGGUGGAUCCUUACAGAAGGGUUUUCCUGGGUUCAGUACCAGGAACAGUUUAGGAUCUGGUCAUCAACAAAUACAUCCCUGCAGUGGUAGAUCCAAUAUUGGGUCUGAUGCAAAUCUGUCUCCUCAUCAAUGUAGAGAGGUGAGCCCACGUAAUGUUGGAAAGGAACAAGUGCAAUCAAUGGUUAAAAGUCAUUUAAAAAGCUUAUCUCAAGAAUUGGAGUUAGGUAUGUUUAGUUUGAAAUCAUCCGCUUUUAACUGCAUAUGGCAGAAGUGCGCUUUAAAAUUCUAAAUAGUAUGCAAUAGACUAGAAGGGUUCUUCAUGUUCUAAUAUAACAUUUAUUACUGAGCUCUUCAGUUAAAUGAUAGAUGCAUUUUGCCUAUCUUGAGUCUUGAGUUACAACAACUAACACUUAUCAUUUUUACAAACAUGCGUUCUAAAAACUAACUGGCCAUCUUGGCAUACUCAUGUUAGAAGUAUCCUCUUUGUUUUCCUGAUUCUUGUCCUCCAUCAGAACAUUUAGGUGCCUUCUUUCCAAUAGAAAAGUUUAAUAUGCAGCAACACUUGCUUACAUUGAAAAAUGCCCUUCUCCUGUGAAUUUUAAUCAUAUUGUUUUUUCUAGUCCUGAAGUGGUCGAGCAUAAGACAAUUUUCUAGUGCCUAUAAAUGCGUCUUCCAAUCAUUUAAUGGUUUAAAGAAGUUUUGUUCCUCUAUUCCCGUUUCCCUUCCUUGAUCUCUUUCUUCAAGUUUAAGAUAACGGCAAAGCUGAAAAAUGUUAUCAUACGUUGCUGCAGACUACAGUACCUUCAAGGAUGUUGCAAGGAGCUCUACACACACCAUUUUAGCUGCAUGUGGGCUUGAGCACCGCUUGAAUGAAGUCUACCCUAUGCAAGCACUCUUAAUAAUCUGCUCACAUGCAGAGCAAAAGGCAGGUGGACAAUCAAGUCCUUCUAAAGAUCACUGCUCAUCUUGUUUUGAUUUGCUUGUGAGGAAUGUGGUGAGAGAGAUAAUGAACACCAGAGUUGCACUCUCCUCCAAGGGCUCGAUUCAGUUAGGUUGAUAUUGCUUGGCUUACCAUUCUUUCUGUCCAUCCAUUGACCCCAUUGGGCAACUCGUUUUUAUAGAUUUUUUCUACUUAGGCUGUUGAUAAUGGAAAGAAUUAUAGAAGAAUGGGUCGUCUCCUUGUCAAUCAUUGACUUUUGGGGGGUAAUAAUUAGUCAUUUGUUGUCUAUACAGGAGACAUUUUUUAGUCGCCAUUUCUUGAGAAAUUGCGAGCUUUCCCACUGUCAAUUUAAAGAUUUGUGUUCUUUGACAAACUUGAAGAUUUUGUGACUCUGUGGGACAGUCUAUUUCCACUGUCUUUCAUGUAAAAUUGUUGAAUUUUUCUUAAGCAUCCCUUAACCCUUCAUUUCUUUAUUAUUGUAGAUAGCAGCAAAUUAUUUCAAUUAUUAACUUCUUUCUUCCAGAAAGUUAGCAGCCUGUAUCGACAAUGGAUGGAGUAGCCUCAAGUCUCAAUUCGCCAUGUUGUUUAUAGCAUGAGAGUUGACAUUAUGAUUGUGCAGUUUAAAUUUAAUGAUGCACAAUAAAAAAAUUUCCAAAAAGGUGUGCAUGACUCAUAAAAGGUGUGCAUGGCUCCUAAUAAGCCUCAAACUCGAUAUAGACUGGAUCACUGAACUGAAGCUCAUUGGUUCACUAAAACAGUUUGUCACGAGAUUUGGGGCAUCCACAAUUUACACUCUUCAGAGUGUAAUUCACAUGCCACGUCAGCAUUUCACUUUCUCCUCUUUUAGCACACUUCAACUCAUAAUGGAUUACACUCCACAAGGUGUAAUAGCAUAGGUGCACAAUUAAAUCAAAUAUUUAUUUUAAUAAUGCAUAACUCAUAUCCCAUAAAUAAAUAAAGUAAUUUUUAAAAAUAAUUUUGUUAUUUUUAAAAAAUACAGUAUUAACUUUCAUUAAAUUUUUUACCUUUUGAAUUUUUUAUUUUCUAAAAAUGAUAUUAUUAAUUUUUAAGUUUGAACAAUAUAUCUUUUUCUAUCUCUCAAAAAUAAUAUAUUGUUAUUUUUUGAAAAAUAAUUAUGCAGAAAAUUAAACAAAUAUUUGAUACCUCCAAUGCGAAGAUAUCAUAAUAAUCCAUACUUAAUUAAUAAUUCGGAAUGUAAUUAGUUGAACUCCAUAACAUAAUAUUACAUGAUUUAAAUCAAAUAAAAUACGAAUAAUAACAAAUAAUUAACGUUGCAAAUUUACCGUUGCAAAAAAUGAACCUGAUCGAAGUUACUGGCCAAAAGUUUGUCCGACUCUUAAAUUUUGUAAUGGGAGCCACACAUUACACGCAUCAUGGGUAUUACACGGCCACAAUGGGGUGACCAUGUAAUAACCCAUUACAAUGUCAGACAUUACACCACCGUUGGAGAUGCUCUUAGUAGUCUGUGAAAAUGGUUAGGAGGUGUGCAACUGUGCACGAUAUUGUACUACUGGCACAAAAUUACCAAUUAUUGAGGCCCCAUGUCUUUUCUUGUGAAUGAAAUCCCUUUUAAGCAAACCUGCCUUUUUUUUUUAACCCCUGAAAACCCUUUUUUUGUAUUUUAUUUUAUUUUAAGGGCGUUUGUUUCUGUUGAUUGAAUUUGUCGAAAGGUUGUCAGUUGCAAACAUCAAACCUCAGUUAAUGACUGAUGCAAGUGUUCAUUGAUGGAAGGGGUUGUGAAAUCCUUUUAAGAGCGUUGUUUAUCUUAAUUGAACUUGUCUAUGGUUGUCAGUGGCAAACAUCAAACCUUUCAGAUCAGAUGGUAGCUAAUGCAAGUGUUCAUUCAGUCAAGGGGCUGUCCGGUGAUUGCCUGCGGCAACUGUCAACAGCAAUUGAUGGCUCCAAUUAAGCCAAGUUUGAUGUUCCCCAAUCUUGUCUAGGCCGUGCGAACUCUUCAUAUAUAUAUAUAUGCGUGUGUGUGUGUGUGUGCUUGUGUGUACAUAUAUAUGUAUCUAUGUGUGUGUAAAUAGAUGGCCUACAUGAGUCGUGAACAGCCUGCCUGUUGACGCCCCAAUCCAAAAGAUCAGUCAUCAUGUUGUUUAUGUUAUGAUAUGAAACAGAAAUGUUCGAUGGAGAAGAUAUCACAUCUCCAGAACAAGAAAUGUAAUGGUACGAAUCAAAUGACACUAGUAUGGAUGGAUGGCCAUAAAGCUCAUUUCUGUAACAUACCAGUUUUACAAUACAGUAUCAUCCGACUUAGUAAUACCAGCAUGAAGGUUUUCCAUCAGUAGACGACCUUCUAUGCCUGAUUGGCAGUCAAAUAAAAGAUCACCUCCAUGAAAAUGAGAGGAGCAAAGAAGAAAUCAAAACACAGAUCAGAAACUCAUACAGGCACUACCGGUAAGUUUAUUCAUCUUCUUUAUCAAAGUAUAAACUGCACUUGAAGAAAGAUGAUACAUGAGUUCCUUUCUUUUCCUGCCUACAUAACUAAAUUCUACAGGCAACAUAAAUUACAUUUAUUACUACAGAUUAUUUCAAUCUUAGCUUAUCCAUACACUGGCAUAAGCGCUAGAGACAAACCACUGAUCAA